CGGAGCUAAGUUUAAGCUCUUCUGCUCAGAAUUCAGAUCCUAGGGUUUCGUUUCCUUUCCCUCUUCUUUCUCAGAAGUUAAGCCCCACCAAAACCUUCUCAAUCCUCUACAUUUUGCCUCUUCGCUUUCCACAUUUCACCUCCAUUAUCAAUUUCUAUCUUCCAGGAAAAGCUAACUCCUCUGGACCUGCCACAUCAAUCGAUUCAUGGCCAAAACCAAACCAGGCAAAAAAGACCUCGAUUCCUACACUAUCAAAGGCACCAACAAAGUUGUUCGACGUAUGUACUCUCUCUCUCUCUCUCUCGCUCUCUCUAUUGGUGGAAUCUCCAUUAUUUCUUUUUUGGCUUUAGGAACCCAUGAAUUUCUCAUCUUUUUUCCCCCCUUUUAGAACCCAUAUUCUCAUAUUGUUUCCUUUUUUUGACGUUAAAGAUUUUGAAAACCCAGUAUUAAUGGAAGUUUUCAUACUUUGUUUUUCAUCAUUUUUAAUAUUGGGUCAUUUGUUUUCCCGUUUGGGUCUCUCUGAAGACCGUGGAAGUUGCUUAUUUUAUUGCUUAUUCUCAAAAACCCCAAAAUCUCGUUUUUAUGAUAAUUUUUGAACUGCCCAUUUUGCAGAAAUAUUGUCUAAUUUUUAUUUUUUGAUCAUUCAAUGUUUUGUUCAUUUUGUUGCAGCUGGUGAUUGUGUGUUGAUGCGCCCAUCGGACUCCGAUAAGCCUCCCUACGUCGCACGAGUUGAGAAAAUUGAGGCCGAUCAUCGCAAUAAUGUCAAAGUCCGUGUCCGGUGGUACUAUCGGCCGGAGGAGUCCAUUGGUGGCCGCCGUCAAUUCCAUGGGGCAAAAGAGCUCUUUUUAUCGGACCACUACGAUGUGCAAAGUGCACACACAAUUGAAGGCAAGUGCAUCGUGCACUCAUUCAAGAACUACACUAAGCUUGAAAAUGUUGGAGCUGAGGACUACUUCUGUAGAUUUGAAUACAAGGCUGCCACUGGUGGGUUCACCCCUGAUCGGGUAGCUGUGUGAGUAUUCUUAUGCAUUUUCUGUUAUUUGGUUUGAAUUGAUUUUGUAGGUUUUUAAGUGUUGAAGUAAUUGGAUUAUUCAACUGAGACCUGGAUUCUUUUUUCUUCCUUGUAAGGUACUGUAAAUGUGAGAUGCCAUACAAUCCAGAUGAUCUAAUGGUGCAGUGCGAGGGUUGCAAAGAUUGGUAAAUUUUUUGCGGACUCUCAAUUUUUAACAAGAAUUAUAUAUAUUAAAUUGCAACGAUUACAUUUACAUAUUCUGUUGAUCUUUUAAUUUGUAGAAGCCACAUGAAUUUUGAAUUAGUGUCCGACAUACUGUCCUUUUGGUCUGUUAAUCAAAUGUUUCAUGGUAGUAUUUCCAUUAUUGAUAUACUUAUAACCUUGCGCUCAAUUUAAACCUCUGUUUGGCUGGUUAAACACUUAGUUAACUUAAGUGAGCCAAGUGAUGCUGUACCUUGGAUCAGAUUAUUUGCCAUUCCUAGGAUGCAGAUUAUUUGUUCUGCACCAACUUCAGCAAGCUGCAAGCCUGCAACACUUUGAGAUAAUCAUUGAGCUGUCACUGUAGUAGGGUUUUGUCAAAUUUUUUCUCUUUUUCCCUCCUCCUCUAUCCAUACAUUUCCACAAUACAUGGUUUCACAUAUUAGGAUUGUUUGUAAUUUUACCUGUAGCUCCUUCUUAUUUAUCCCAAAUUAAUUUAUUUUAGUUGAUUGUUUAAGCCUUGCAUGGAUACUAGUUUUUCGACUCAUGAUGUCAAGGUAACUACAUCAAAUCAGUUUCAAUUGACAAUAGACUGUUUGCACAUCAGCAAAAUUAUGUGAUAAAUCAAGAUAGAUUGCCGUCAUUCCUAGCUUGAUAUCAUAGCUCCAGAACACAGACCAGUUCAGGUAUUAUGUCUGGAGAAUCUAAAACAAGGGCCAUUGUGUAGAAGUAGAAUCAAACUUGGUUCAGGAGGAGUGUAAGGCAAGGGAUUAACUGCACUGGCAGAUCGACACUGUAUGCUAGUAACUUACAGUGUGAAAGGGAAUGCUUGAAAUGUGAAGAAACUUGAAGUUUUAGUCUUCAAAUGGCAAUAUUGGUUUUCAUAUCAACAAAAUUGUGUGAGAAGUUAAAGGGAUUAACUGCACUGGCAAGGGAUUAACUGCACUGGCAGAUCGACACUAUAUGCUAGUAACUUAUAGUGUGAAAGGGAAUGCUUGAAAAGUGAAGAAACUUGAAGUUUUAGUCUUCAAAUGGCAAUAUUGGUUUUCAUAUCAACAAAAUUGUGUGAGAAGUUAAAGUCUGAUUCAGGCUUCUUAGUAAUUAUUAUUAUUAUUAUUUUUUUGGGGGCGGGGUGGACGACUUGAGGCAAUGUAUCAUCUAAUAAAUGCGGAGGUUCUUAAGGUAUGAAAUAGAAUGCUUGAUAGGGAUUCUUCCUAAGAAUGAUUAAUAAUUGAUCUCAUAUGCCUGAUGAUCAAAAGUAAUAAACACCUGAUAUUGAGUUGUAAGCAGAAAACUUAUGUUAUAUUGCAGGUGCUUACUUAAAAAUGUGUCAUCCUGGUGUUUGGGGAUAGUUUCAAAUCACCUUUUAUCAUAGUUUCAACAUCAUAUUAUUAUGAAUUGGAUUCAUGAACUUUCUUACUUGUAGUAUUAAGAAAGGUCUCAUGGAGUUUUGAUGGGUUCUUUGAACUUUUUUGGAUUAAUGGUAACAUUGUGUUUCUUGUCUGUCAAAGCUGGUUAACUUUAGAUUGUUUAAACUUUUAGAUGAAGUACCCAAUUUAUAUUGGAAUUUGGAACUCUUUCACAGCUGAUUGGGUUUAUUUAUUUAUUUUUAUUAUGCUAUCAACUAAUUUUGGAAGUGACACUUUCCUUUAAUAUCCUUAACCAAGUGGAAUAGACAGAUCCAUUUAGCUGAUCCAUUAGAUUGAGAUUAAUGCUUGAUUUUACUAAGUAGAAACAUUAUGGAAAUAGAUCGAAACCAGGAUUUGAUGGUUGAACACUUAUUUAACCGUGGUGCGCUUUUUUGAAGUUGUGAUAUAUCAUCCACUGCAUAAUCAGAUAGUACAACUUGUCGUAUUGGAUUGUUAUUUUGUGCUUGAGAGACUAUGCAAUAGCAGUAAGAACACUAAAAACUGUGAUUCCCUAACAGCUUUGCUAAUACAUUGCAGGUUUCAUCCUUCUUGUAUGGGUAUGACAAUUGAAGAAGCCAAAAAAUUGGAUCACUUUCUGUGUUUUGACUGUUCCUCUGAUGAUAAUGCCAAAAGAACUUUGAACGCGUUCCCAGUAUCACCAUCUGUUGAGGGCAAGGUGAGCAUUGUGUCCCAUCUCCCUAGUACAACUCCAGGUGUGGGUGAAUAAGUAGGGUCUAGAUGUCAAAUUUAUCAUGUUGUUGUAGCAGGGUGAAGGAAAUUGAGAACUAGUGAUCAGCUUCGCUGCAUAAUAUGCUGACAUUCUUUGUUCUGCUAGUUCUCGUGGUGUUAAUCUUUUUUUACAACUUGGUACUCAGUUUCUCCAUCCAUCCUUUUUCUCUGUCAGUUUUGCAAUCAAGUUAUAUUCUCAUCUCAAGGAUUAUAGGAUGAUGCUCAGCUUGUUGUCUUAGACCUCAUGCUUUGGUCUUGCACAAUCUUUGCCCACCUUACCUGUCAUAUAACCUGUUUUCACUGUGCAACCAAAUUUCAGCUUUGUCACCUAUAGGAAUGUAACUAAUGAUGAAAAUGCCAACUGAUUUUGACGGUAUGGAUGUAUAGGGGCUUCUUAAUAUGAAUGCAGGAAAUUUCUAUAAAGUUUGAUAUGGAAGAAAUAGCUGAGAGCCACAAUAAUUUGGAGGCAUAUAUAUUGUGAUUAUGACAUCGUUAAGCGAUUAAAGUAGUGCAAACAUUGUAAAAGAGUACAAUACUCUCUGUGCUGAUAUUGCAUGCAGCUCUACUGAUUUGUGUUAAAGUUUAUCCUGGGCUGAUUGUGUCUUUGCUAGUUCCAAAUUUUGGUUCCAUGUACUAAUAUUCUAAGGCCUCUUGGGCCUUUGGUAUUGUUGUUAUUGGUUGUGUUUCGUACGUUCAAACACACAUAAGAAGAUUGGCCAAAUUAUGUUCAGUUCAUUUGGAACUAAGGAUUACUGACUUGAGCAUUACUAUUUCCAUUGGCGGGCAUGAAAAGAUGCAUCUUAACAUGAUGGUCCAUCAAAUGACAUUUUACUUGUUCAAUUGUAUUGCAACAUAAACCUCAGAUGGUACGUGAAUAUUGGCCGAGUUAAUUUGUCUGUUAAUGAACAAAUGCACAUGGGAUGGGGUUGGUGUUUGAUUUGGAUUUCUUUUUUAGUGUCUUAACAAGCAUGCCAGCACCUUCUUAUUGCAAUUAAAUUUAAACUGUGUAGUUAUAUUGUUUCAAGGUAGAGCAGGGGAUUAGCAAAUAGAAUACAUGCUUAGUUAAUUUAGAUCAUUGAAUGUUGGAUUAGAUAGAGAGAGAGAGAGAGAGAGAGAGAGUUUUCAUUUAUAUUUAGGGAUAAAUUGAAAGGUUUGAUGCACAUGGGACGGGGUUGGUGUUUGAUUUGGAUUUCUUUUUUAGUGUCUUAACAAGCAUGCCAGCAGCUUCUUAUUGCAAUUAAAUUUAAACUGUGUAGUUAUAUUGUUUCAAGGUAGAGCAGGGGAUUAGCAAAUAGAAUACAUGCUUAGUUAAUUUAGAUCAUUGAAUGUUGGAUUAGAGGAAACAGCUUAAUUGGUGUGACCUUGUUCAUCCUAGUUGAUAGUUUUCAUUUAUAUUUAGGGAUAAAUUGAAAGGUUGGAAUGGAUGUGUUGGUGGCAGUGAAAAGUACCACCUACUACCUAGGAGGUUGGACUUCAAACAGGUUCUGUUUCUAUUGAGGGCAAUGUCUAUGCAGCAGUGAUUAUUUGAGCUCCUAUACUCUGUUGAGAAAUUGGUUUUUUAUUUGCUUAGUCGAUUUUUUUCCCCUUUUUAAUUUUCUCCAUCAAUGGUCAGUAUGCUCUUGCUUGAUCAUGGUAAACUAGUGUAGUAAUGCUUUACACUAUGUGUCAGAGGAAGUUAGUUUUUAAAGAAGGUAAGGUUUUUGGAGUUCCUCCAUACCUUUAAACCACCCCCGCCCCUUCUUCACCUCACGAAAUUGGUGAAUCAGAGAAGUUUUGAUACUGUAAUUGCUAUUACCUUACAUUAAAAGAUCUCCAUAUGUUCCACCAAGCAUGCUGUUACCAUUUCUUUUAGCUAACAAAAGUCAUCAGUAGUGCCAUUUUAAUGUGAAAUGGCAUGCAAUGGCCAGCAUAGCUGUCUGCUUCUAGCUUUAGCAUAUUAACAUUUACUGGUUGCUUUCUGGUUAUAGUGUUAUAUACAAAAAAAAAUUUUUGUGAAAGGGUUUCCUGAUGUUUGCAGAAACUUGUAACUUUAUGAUGGCAUUCUUGAAGUGCUGCCAAAUUAUUUUGACUAACUCACAUGCAUACACACGGGAACGAGAAUGUCAUAUGUACAAUAAUCAGACUGGUACUUUUACCAUAGCAGACUUUGUUUACAAUUUCAUCCUAUUAAAUUUUACACAUUACUUUUGCUGCUUAUCACAUGAUACUUCUAGAAUUUGGGAUGGGAUCUUGUAGUUUAGUUGUCUAAAAACUCUACAUGUCCAUUUCCUUUAGAUCUUCUCUGUUGUGUGGAAGCGAAAUAUUGUGUAAUUUUCUAUUUCUACUUUAUAGGUUUUGCUUCUUUACACUUACUGGUGAUUUGCUCAACAUGGAUUUUAUAUAUAAAAGAUUUUAGUUUUAACAGAAAACAUUUUUUGAUGGUUGCAGAAACUAGUAACUUUCUGGUGUCUUUCUAAGGUGUUCCCAUGUUAUUUUGACUUUCCUAAGUUGCUUAUUUGCAUAAGUAUUAUCUGUACAAGUAUCUGACAUGGUAAACCCUAGCAUACUUUCUUUAUUUAUCUAACAUGAUACUCGUUUGGUAUUUUUGAUUUUAUAACUUGCUUUAGCUUUCUCUGUUGAAACUUAUCUCUAUUUUGCAUCUCUUAGUAAAUCUUUGUGCUUGAGAGUUUGGGAUGGCAUUUGAUUGUUUAGAUAUUCGAAUGCUCAUCUCCUCGAGUUCUGCAUGGAGCUAAAUGUUGUAGUCCUAUUGGUGUCCAUAAUUAGUGAUUAUUUUAUCUGUAUGAUGCAUAUAUCUGACCGAGUCAUGAAAUUAUCUAACACUCAUGAGCAGGUGGCAAAAUCGGAUGCCAAUCUUUGUGGGGAGAUUGUAUUCCCUGUGCUUUGCCAAUUUUGGUCAGAGAGAAAAUAAUGUUAAUUCAUUAAAGGAUUUAAGUCGUAUUUAUGGAAGUUAAUUUAUCAGAAGCAUUAGAAGUUCUGAAUAAUUAGUGAAUUUUAUUGCAAAAGAUGGAGGUGUAGCCUGUGUAAGUUUAAAUGGCAUAUUUUGCCAGUGGAUUUAUGAUAAAUGCUUUGGAAAAGAAUGCUUUGUUUGUGUGUUGAAUGAAGAAGAAUAUAUGUAUUAAUUCCUAUGAAAAGAAAAUUCAUUUCAAUUGAUAUUUUGAUUCUUGAUUGUUUCUAAUAUAGGAUUAUUAGUCUUUUCUGUUUUUUUGUCCUUUUACUCUUUAUGAUGUACUUUUCUUGUCUUGGUUUUUUAUGCUAGGUGGAGACAAAGCGAAGGAAGAGAUGACAGAUAAUCAUGAUGGGUAAUUGGGAGGUACUUUUUCUUGCACAUUAGCUCCAGUAUGUUAUUGUUGCCUGUUGUUCAAUUUUACAGUGCUGAUAAGAUGUUGUGCUUGCACAAGCUAGAGGCCCUUCUUAUUUAUAUUUUUCUAUUGUUUGUUCGUGUGAAUGGUCUUAGGAGAUGAUCUGUAGUGCCUAAUGAUGUCCUCAUGAGUACUGUGCCAAAAAUUGAAGUAUCUUUUUUCUUUUCUGCGCCAAUGAUGAUGAAUCAAACUAAAUGUCUCGUGAACCUUGGGUUUGUUAUGGUAUAUGCUAUAUAUGUGAUAAACUCAUCCUGUUCUUCCUUUCUUCUUCCCUUAAUCACAAGGGAUGAGGAAAUAGGGGUUGGGUUUUAGCAAGAGAUGUAACAGUCGACUUAAUCCAGGCACUGUUUUGGACUCAAAUCUUCACGUGGGGUGAUUUGUUGAUGUAGAUGAAGGCAAAUAUCACUCAGUCUCAACGUCCAAGAGUGGUUAUGGUUUUCUUGUUCCUUUUUUUUUUUGUUUUUUUGUAUAGAUGGCUCUGGACAAAUUUUCGAGCCUGUGUCCCAAUUCUCUAGUUGCCAAGUCUUCUGAAAUUUUGAAUCACCUGUUGAAGGUAGCUGAUUGAAUGUGGGAUUUCCUCUAUUGAGCAGAGCUGCUGAUAGCCUUGCCGAGGGCAUCAACUGUUCCGUCUGAAUUUCUAUGCAUAUAUAUGAAUAACCAUAUUUGUGGGAGCAGGGGAGCAAUGCCACCAUCUAUUGGUGAGCAUCUUGAUCUAAUUAUGCAUAUUUUUGUUAUCGACAGCCUUUAGUUGAGAAAGGGAGAGGGAAAAGUGGACAUUGAAGGUCUGUGUGCAUAAUGCAUGAAUGGGUUUCUUGAAGGAUUUGGAAUCCCACACACAUGUUCUUAGAUGAUAUUUUAAUCACAUAUAUCAGAGUUGAGUGCUGGGAAAGUAAAUGCAAUUUAUUGUAUUAUACUGGAUCUUACUGGUUUCUGAGGGAAAAGGUACUAGUCAAAAUUGCAUGGUUAAGAAGAAAAAACAGAAAGAAAGCAGGGAGGAGCACUGUUUGAAUGCGGAUCGUUAAGCAAAUGUUGGUUGUUGACCAACAUCCAUGUAUUAUGAAGGAUUUUAGUAAAAAAAAUUACAUUUUGAAAAAAAGGGUGAACUAAUGAAAACUUAAAAGAGAUUAUUUGUGUUUGCAAGUUCAUAAAGAGUUCAUAAAAUAUCUGAUCUCAAACAUGUGUAUCUAAAUAAGGAGAAAUUUAUUAUUUAGGAAAAUUUAUUACUCGAUUUAUUGGGGUUGAAGAAUAUUCUGAGAUUUUAAAAAAUUUAUCAAAUAAGUUAUUUUUUUAUUUUAGCUAUUAGACUAAGAAAAAUUUAUUAGUUUUAGUCUCUUAAUUUUCCUACUGUAUUAAUAGUAUUGUUAAUUUUUUUAUAAUAUUUAAUGCUUAAAAUUAAAUAGCGAAUUAAUUAGUUUAUUUUUUAAAAUUUCAAACAUUUUUGUAUAUUGUUUAAAAAUAAAGAAUUAACUUGUUGUUUUAUAUUAUAUAAACUAAAUAAUAAUUUUUUUCAAACAAUAUAUCAAUUUUUACUUUUGUUUACUCAAAGCUUAGAAACAAGAAUUAAUUUCCUUGUUCGCUACCUGUUUUUAAAUGGAGUUCCGUUGCCAUGUUAACUUUUUUUUUUUUCUCCCUUUUUUUUUUAAAUCAAAGCCUGAAACUUAAAAAUACAUAAAAAGCCUAGGACAGAAAAUCCAAAUGAGAAUACCCACAACUCAAAUAUAACAAAAUUCAAAUCCAGAUUGAAAUCCAAGCAUCUUCUAGAAGGGAAUUGCUGCCGCUUAAAGCCAAUGCCAUAUUUUAGCAAAUCCAAAAAUCAAUUUGAUGCAAAUUAAAGAACACCAACCUUGUGUUAGACGCUUUUGGACAGAAAAAAUCCCCAAUGGAAAUAAUUGAAACCAAGCUAGCGAUGGAAGGUCUUUGAUUUCUUCGGGAGCAAGCUAUAUCCUCAAGCACUUAAGGCACUAGUAAAUCAGUUACAAUUCACCAUCAGAGACACUAUGGAGUCGCUAUCCCAUCCAUGUAUGAGGUUUGGAGAAGAAAAGAGAAGAAAUAGAGAAAUUUUUAGUUUGGCCUUUAGAGUUAGCAGACAUUGGGAAACGCUGCUUUUAGACCCUAAAGUCUGUUUUCUCAAACAUCGCAUCAAUAUCAAUACCUCUGAUACAUACAAGAAAAGCAAACCAACCCACAAAAAAGAAAAAACAAGAAGAGAAAAACAAGAAAAAGCACCCAACAAUAACAAUUUAAAUUCAAUAGAACCCUGCAGGAAAACUCAAUAGGCAAGAUAACUCUUUUACCAUUCGCUCUAUUAUGAGAGAAAAUAGAGAAAUAAAUUCAAACAAUGCAUACAUAACUCACCGUAUGAAAGAAAAUAGAGAAACAAAUUCAAACAGUGCACAUACACAACAACUCUUAUGAGGAGAAUUAAUCUAUAAUCCGAAUAGAGGAGGAAAUAGAGAAAUAAAUUCAAAUAGUGUAUACACAACAACUCUUAUGAGGGAGAAUUAAUCCAUAAUCCGGAUUGAGGAGGCUUUCUCUCGCAACAAAAAAGAACCUAAAAAGUUAAGAGGGAAAAAAUUUUUUUUUAUUAACUUUUCAAUAACUACUCAUUUUCACAUUAAAUCAUAACUGAUUCUAAUUUAUAAAUAAUGUAAAUAUUUUAAUCUAUUAUAUAAUACAAGAAAAUUACACGAACUCCAUAUUUAAAAUUACAAUAAAUUUAUUUAAAAUCAUAAAAAUUUAUUUUUCUUAAUUUUUUAAAAAAUAUUUUUCAUAUAUUUAAAAUUGAAUCAGACUAAUAAUAUAGUCAUAAAACAAAACCAAACUAAAUGUUAAACCAAAAUCAAAUUAUAAACCAUUUUAUGACUCAAUUAAAAUAGAAUAGAAAAUAUUAAUAAAUUUUGGGCUAGAAAUUAACUUGGGCAUGAUUAAUAAUUAGAGAGCUGAUGUAGCAAUGGAGGUUAAAUUUAGCAAAAGGAGUUAAUGGUAGGAUAAACUAAUCCUAUGAUAACAGUUCAAGCUAAAUCUAUCAAGACAAAAAAAAAGGAUAGAAUUAUUAAGUGGUUAAGGUUAUAUAUAUAGUUAUGUUCUAUCAUAUUAAACUAUAUGUCAUUUUUUGUUUUGAAAUAAUAAUUUUAUUUAUUAAAUUGCUGUAUUUUUAUUUAAUAUAGAUUAAAAAACUAAAACCUAUUAGUUUCUAAAAUAAUUUCUUUUUAUUAAGAAAUUUCUAAAGUAAUUUAAAACAUAAGGUAUUUAAUCUUUUGGAAGAUUUACAUUUUAGUUUCUGAGUAUUGCCACAAUUAACAAGUCAGUCCCUGCGUUUUUAGAAACCUAUUAAAAUGUCCUUAAUUUUUCUCUCCGUCAACGAAAUAGUCCUUCUGUCAUCUUUUCCGUUAAAAAUAGAUAAAGGAUGAGAGUGAAAAUUUUUAAAAUUCGAUUUUGCCCUCAAAUAAAACUCCUUAUUUAGUCCUUGGAUAUUGUUAUUAUUAAUAAGUCAGUUCCUACAUUUUCAAAAAUCUAUUAAAACGUCCUUAUAUUUUCUCAUAUCCAUUAAAACGUUCUUAUCGUUUUUUUCCGUUAAUGAAAUAGUUCCUNNNNNNNNAGAAGAAGAUGAUGAUGAAGGAGAAGAAGAAGAAGAAGAAAAAAGAAGAAGAAGAAAGAGAAGAAGAAGAAGAUGAUGAUGAUGAAGAAAAAGAAGAAGAAGAAGAAGAAAAAUCUUCUCCUCCUCCUCCUUAAAGAAUAAGAAUCCUUAAAGAAGAAGAAGAAAAAGAAGAGCCAAAGAAGAAGAAGAAGAGGAGGAAGAAUCAAUGAAGAAGAAGAAGGAUGAGGAGGAGGAGGAAAAGAAGGGGGUAAUUUGGUCUUUUGCUAUAUCUUUAACGGCAAUGAUUAUUUUGUUGACGAAAAAAAAAGAUAAGAGCGUUUUAAUAGGUUUCUAAAAAUGCAGGGAUUGACUUGUUAAUAAUAGUAAUAUUCAACGAUUAAAUUGUAAAUCUCCCUAAUUUUUUUAUGAGUAAGAAAAUUCAAUAAAAUUCAUUACUUAAUCUAUGUCAACUUUAUUUUAUUAAAUAAAAUAAAAAAAUUUAUUUUUUGAACAAAUCUUCCUUUAUUAUAUGCCUCUUUCUAUUUGAAAUAAUAAAUUAUUUAUGAAUUUAUUAUUAUGUUAUUAUUUAAUAUGCCAAUAAAAAAAUUUAUCCAUUGUAGAAGUAAUUUGAUGUAAUAUAAUAAUAUUAAGAAGAAGGUUAAACAAAAGUUAUUAUUUUAACUAUAUUAAUCAUUAUCUCUUCUUAAAUUAUAUUAGAAAGAGUAAUAACUAUUUAUAACUUACAAGCAAUUGCUAUAACCUUGAAUUCAACAUGUAACAUGGGAGACCUUUCUGUUAUUCCAGAUGUAACUAUCAUCUUUUCCCAAAAAAAAAUUAUGUUUACUUGUCCUCUGUUAUUCAUAAAAAGAAAUUUUUUUGUACGUAUCAACUUUAUGUACUCUCGAUCAUGAUAGUUUAUGCACACUCGAUCAAUAGAAUAUGAUAUGACUCGAUACUUUUUCAAAUUAUAUUAUACGAUAGUGACCUUUUAUUGGACCAUGUGAUGAUGAUCAUGAUUAAGACACUCGAAUAUCCAGACUUAAGUGCUUAAGGCAUAAAGGCUCGAUUGUUCAUAGCAUUUGCUUGGUUGACUUGGAUCCUUGAAGGCUCGCUUUGUUGAGGCAAAGUCUCAAGCCUUUCCAUUUUUUACCGUUGAUAGUUAUUGCGAUGUAACCACCAGAAUCCCUACAAUCAUGGAAUCUCUUAUUCACUUACCGGUACAUUCCGGAUUCUUAGGGAAACUACUAGCCAACCCGAUCUUCUUGAAAUAUAAAGGUAAUUUAGAAUACAGGUUCAAGGUAUACAUUCUACUACUCACUUAAAUUGAUUACAACUCUUAUUUCACUCACACAUUUUAGCAGUUUCUAACUUGAGCGUCGAAGUGGUCGCCUCUAAGCACCAACCACCUCACUUUUUCUCUUUGUAGAUUGCUAGGUUAUAUAAGGAGCAUUCUCAACAAAAUCAUUUAGUUCUAUUAUCAGGAUCUCAAAGAGUUGUCUUGAUCAUUUGGAAAAAUCUGACUUGUUCAAUAAUUUCUACUCUUUUUCCUUCUUAUUCAAAACUCAAUUUCUCCAAUGAUAAAUAGCUCACAAACAGUUACCAAGUUUGCUGCAAAUGGGGGGGCUAUUGUCUCUUGCACUUUGAAACGUAGACAGAACAUUCCCCCUAUCUCAGUCGAAAUGGAUCUUAAUACUUUGAACAAUGAGCAGAUGAUGCAAUAUACCAAAAGACUGCAGACUACUUUUGAGCAAUAUAAGGCUCAGGAUAAGGCUUUACAAGGUAUCACCAAGGUAAGAGAAGAGACCUCUCAGAAGACGCCUAGAGCUAGGGGAGAGGCAACCAUGCCCAAUCUAAAGGGAAAGGUAAGAUAGAAGAUGAAGAAUCCUCAGACGAGGCGUCAAGAAGUGUAGAUUGAAAGCUUGUACACGCUGUAAAGAGAUUUCAAAAGGAGCAGGAGGAUGACUUCGAGUGGGGGAUGCCUCGCCUAAUGAAAUCUUGGCAAAGACUUUUCCACUAAAAUUCAAGUUAUCCAGUUUAGAUAAGUAUGAUGGGAUUUUGGACCCAAGGAGUCAUUUGGCCAUUUUUUGAACUACAAUGCAGCUGCAAGACGUUAAUAAUUUUAUCCUAUGCUGAGUCUUUUCAUCUGCACUAAUAGGUCUGACCCAAAAAUGGUAGCAGCACCUUAGUUAGGUUCUAUUAACAACUUCAUUAAGUUUGCUGUAGCUUUUAAAUCUAAAUUCAUUAUAUGCAUACCUCCAAAGAAGCUCUCAUUUGACCUCGGAAGAUCCGGCAAGGUGGGGGAGAGUCUCUGAGGAGGUUGAUUUCAGGGUUCAAUGCUGAGGCUAUACAGGUAGAGAACCUGAAUCAUAAGAUAGCUUGCAAAGCAAUAAAGAAGGAACCAAGAAAAUAAAGUUUAUGGAUUUGUUAAUAAAGAAUCUGGCGACCACCUAUCAACAACUGAUGGAUAAAGUCUAGAAGUAUAUAUGACUGGAUGAUGAAGUAUAGGUCUUGAGAUAAGAUAAGAGGGCGGAUCAGAAUAAGACCCAAAAAUCAAACAAGCAAAGUCAUGAAAGUGAAAGGAGGAGCUACUUAGUAUCAUGAGGCAGGGAUGAUAUAGGUAAUUAUAGAAGUUAUAUUCUGCUAAAUGACUCACAGAUACAAAUACUCAUGUAGAUAAGGAAAAACAACAAGUAAGUGAAAUAACCUGCUAAGCUUAACCCAGACAAGGCGAGCAGGCAGGACAAAACAAAGUAUUGCCGAUUCCACGAAAAUCACAGGCACACAUAGAAGAAUGCAGACAAAUAAAAUAUGAGAUUAAAAUCUUUAGCGAUGGAACUCUGAGAAGAUUUAUGAGAAAAGACAGGGAUGAAAGAAGAUUAGAACCUAAGGUAAGAGCACUAGUUAAUUCUAGUGUACCCUUAGGGGUCAUAAAUGUGAUUGCAAGGGGACUGAGCUGCAACAAACCAAAGAAUAAGCGCACCCCUAAGGAUGUUCUUUCUUUUGAAAAAGACCUAUAGGCAAGGCAAGAAAUGACAUUUAGACCAAGCAAUAAGACUAUUGAGUCAUCACACAAUGACCCACUGGUGUAAGUAUGAGGUUAAAUAGGUAUGAGGUUAAACAAGUGCUCGUUGACACGAGAAUCUCAAUAAAUUUCUUAACCCUCGAAGUUCACAAUAAAGUAGGCUUAGGAGAUAAAAUUGUGAUAGUUCUAGGCACCGUCAACCUCCCGCUUGUGUUGAGAGAUGAGGACAAGUGAGAAGUGUAUGCAAAAUUUACAAUAAUAGGCAUUUCACUAGUAUACAAUGUCAUACUUAGACGCCUGGUCCUGAACUGCCAUGUUAUUGUAAUUAACACGGGUUUCUUAUGCUUAAAGUUACCAGCCCCAAGGGAGUGGCGGUAGUCCGAGGCAAUCAAAAGUCAGUUCAGGAAUGUUAGAGGCACUCCACCAAAGACCUCAAAAAGAUAACAAUGCCAAUUGAAUUAUUGAAAAAGUUCGAGUCUCACACAAAGCUUGAGCCAGCAUAAAAAAAUGGUAUGAUUUGUUUCAUAAAGCUUUCCCAACCUUGAAAUUUAAAGAGUUCGGGUAAAUCAAAAUCCAAAUCAAAUAAAGAACUCCACUAAAUAUACCUGGGGAUGAAGAUAUUCCUUUUUACAGAGGUAGGCUUUUCCAAUGUUCUUGCUUUCUUAGCAAAUGGUUCAGAGAUGGUGAUUCCACUGCUCCUUUUCUUGUACUUUGAGAUUAAAACUUCUUCCUCACUAGAUUCUGAGCUACUGUGCUCUUUUUCAACGACUUUUUCUUUCAUUUUUCUAUUACUUGCGUAUUUAAUCCUUACUAUUUUUGCAAAGACAGAAGGACUAAAGAGAAAUGAAAUGAAUGUUUUGAGAAUAGAGAAAGCAAAUAGCUAAAAACAGAGGGUAAAAUGAAGUUUGAAAUUUUUAAGUUUUUAAAGAGGAAAAAGCAAAGAGGGAAACAUUUGCAAUCCAGAAAGGAAAGUGAGUUUAUCUAUUAAGCUCAUCUCGAAUUCACUCUACAUUAAACUUAGAACAAUUCUGGUACAAAGAGUCAUUAGUAGCACCGAAAAUUAUAUCAUUAAUAUAAAUCUGAACAACUACAAUAUCAUUCUUUUGAUUUUUAGUGAAUAAAGUAGUAUUUAUUUUUCCUCUUAUAAAACCAUUUUUCAAUAAAAACUUACUCAAACGUUCAUACUAAGUUCUUGGAACUUGUUUCAAACUAUAAAAUGCUUUUGAGAGUUUGAAAACAUGAUUUGAAAAUAUUGGAUCUUCAAAACCAAAUGGUUAUACUACAAAAACUUCUUCAUCAAUAUAUCCAUUUAAAAAUGCAUUCUUAAUAUUCAUUUGAAACAACAUAAAAAUUUUAAAAUAUGCAAAAACACAAAAUAUCCUAAUAGCCUCAAUUCUAGCAAUGGAAGGAAAGGUUUCAUCAAAAUUUAUUCCUUCCUCUUGGUUGUAUCCUUGAGCUACUAAUCUAAUCUUAUUUUUAAUUACAUUUCCAUUUUUAUCCGUCUUGUUUCUAAAAACUCAUUUUGUUAUAAUAAUAGAUUGGUUUUUGGCUUGGGAAUAAGUUGUCAAACUUUAUUCAUCUCAAAUUAAUUUAAUUCUUCUUGUAUUGUAAGAAUCCAACUUUCAUCAUUUUGAGUCUCGUCAUAAGAUUUAGGUUCUAAUUUUAAAAUAAAAGCAACAUUACUGAAAUAUAUAUCUUCUCAAUUGUCCUAUUGUCAUCAUUUUUUUAUUUGAGCUAUCAACGAUAUUCUCUUUUGGAUAGUAUUUGUGAUAUCUCUAAUCUUAUGGAAGAUUUUCAUGAACUUGAUCAUUAAUUUAUAAUUCUUCCACAUUUGAUUGUUGUUCCUCACUUCUUUGAUCUCCAUCAUUUGAAGUUUCUCCAUGAUGAUCAACUUGAGUUUCCACAUUUUGCUCAUUUAUAAUUUUCUCACUUGUUUUUUCUUUGCUAAAAAUCUAAUCAAAAUCAGCUUCACAAGUGUCUUUCUUUUUUAAAGCUAGAUUAGACUCAUCAAACAUCAUAUUAAUGAAUUCUUCAGCUACUAAGUUCUUUUUAUUAAAAAUUCUAUAAAUUUUGCUUGUAGAAGAAUAUUCAAGAAAAAUACUUUCAAAAAUCUUACCAUCAAACUUACCAAGAUACUCAUUAUUCAAAAUAUAACAUUUUCAUCCAAAGACAUAAAAAUAUGAUAUGUUUGGUUUCUUGCCUUUCUAUAACUCAUAGGGUGUUUUCUUCAAGAAAGCUCUUAUGGUUACUCUAUUGACAAUAUAACAAGAUGUAUUUAUAGUUUCAGUCUAAAAAUAUUUUGAAAGAUGAUUUUCAUUUAACGUAGCUCUAGCAAUUUUUUGCAAUAUUCUACUUUCUCUCUCAAUAACUCCAUUUUGUUUUAGAGUUAUUGAAACUGAAAAAUAAUGAAAUAUGUCAUGAUUUGAACAAAAACUAUUAAACAUAUGAUUUUCAAAUUUUUUUCCAUGAUCACUUCUCAAAGAUGCAAUAUAAUAACCUUUUUCAUUUUGAACACAUUUGCAAAAAGUUUUAAAAACAUUAAGCGUUUCAUCUUUAUGUGCCAAGAAGAAGACCUAAAAAAAUCUUGAAUAAUCAUUAACAAUUACAAAAACAUAUGAUUUUCCACCAAGACUUGUAGGAAUUAUUGGAUCAAAUAAAUCAAGAUGCAACAAUUCUAAAGGUCUUGACGUUAAAACUUCAUUCUUUGGUUUAAACGAAACUCUUGUUUAUUUCCCAUUAAACAAGCUUUACAUGGACGAUCUUUUUUAAAAAUCGAUUUUGGUAAGUUUCUAACUAGAUUUUUCUUUGAAAGUUUUGAAAUCAGAUGCAUGCUUGCAUGAUCUAAUUUUCUAUGCCACAACCAACUAUUAUCAUCAAACUAGCUAAGCAUUUUUUUUACUAUUUUUAAAACACUCAAGAUUAAGGGCUAAGAGCAAAAAGUGUUCGGACGAGACCCAAGGCUAAGAGGCUCAAAAGACGAUAAAGAGCAAAAGUGCUCGGACGAAUACCCAAGGCUAAGAGCCUGAAAAACAAUAAGAAGCAAAAGUGCUCGGACAAAAAUGCAGGGCUAAGAGCUUGAAAGGCGUCUAAGAGUCAAAGUGCUUGAACAAAGACCCAGGGCUAAGAGCUUGAAAGGUGACAAAGAUUAAAAGUAUUUGGAUGAGACCCAAGGUUAAGAGGCCUAGAAGACGACAAAUAGCAAAAGUGUUUAGACGAAUACCUAGGGCUAAGAGCCCAAAAAAUGACAAGGAGUAUAAAUGCUCAAACAAAGACUCAGAGCUAAGAGCCCGAAAAACAACAAAAAGCAAAAAUGUGUAGAUGAAAACCUAGGGUUAAGAGUCCAAAAGAUGACAAAGAACAAAAGUGCUCGGACAAAUACCCAGGGCUAAGAGCUUGAAAAUGACAAGAAUAAAAAGUGUUCAAAUAACUAAUAGCCCGGAAGGCAUCUAAGAGCCAAAGUACUUAGACAAAGACUCAGGGCUAAGAACCCGGAAGACAACAAAGAGUAAAAGUAUUCGGACGAGACCCAGAGUUAAGAGGCUCAAAAGACGACAAAAAGUAAAAGUGCUUGGAUGAAUACAUAGGACUAAGAGCCCAGAAAACGAUAAGGAGCAAAAGUGCUCAAACAAAGACCUAAGACUAAGAGCCCGGAAGGCGUCUAAGAGCCAAAGUGCUCGGACAAAGACCUAGGGCUAAGAGACCAAAAAACGAUAAACAUUUCUUAGGGUCAGGAAGAAUUACUAUAGCAAGAUACCCCCACACUUUUAAAUAUUUUAAAUUAAGUGUAUAACCUUUUCAAAGGUCAUAGAGUCUUUUAUUAGUUUUAUUAUAGAGUAUCCUAUGCUAUAGAUGACAAGCAGAUAAUAAAACUUCCCCCCUCAAAGGUUAUUAGGUGUAGAGGAACUUAUUAAUAAAGCAUUCAUCAUUUCUUUUAAUGUUCUAUUUUUUCUUUCUGCUACUCCAUUAGAUUCAUGUGAAUAAGGUGCAGUAAAUUCAUGAAUUAUUCCUUCUUUUUCACAAAAGUCAUUAAAUAAGAAAUAUUCUCCACCUCUAUCUGAUCUAAUUCUUUUUAUUUUCCUAUUUAAUUGAUUUUCUAUUUCAGCUUUAUAUAUUUGAAACAUAUCAAAUGUUUCAUUUUUGUUUCUAAGCAAUAUGCUUUCGUAUAUCUAGAAUAAUUAUCAUAAAAGUUACAUAAUAUUUUUUACCACCUCUAGUCAUAGUUUAUUUUAAAUUCUCCAAGUCUGUGUAUAUUAAGCUAAGCAAUUCAAAUUCUCUAUGUGUAGUUGGACAUGAUUUUUUGGUUGACUUAGAUUCUAUACAAAUCUCACAUUUAUUUAAACAUGUAUUGCAAUACCAUAUAUUAUACCAAUAUAUUGCAUUUUUUUAAUAUAAGAAGCACUAACAUGUCUUAAUCUAGCAUGUCAUAAAUUAAAAAAAUUAAGCAAAUAAGCAGAAUAAGGUGCAUUUUUCUUCAUUAUUAUAGAAAUUUUGAGAACAAAAUUACAAUAACUUUUUUCAACAAAGAUACCAUUUUUAGUUGGUACAAUUUUGUCUGACUCAAAAGACACCUUAAUCUCAGUUUUUCCUAAUAGAGCUAUAGAAAUUAAAUUAGCUUUCAUGUUAGGUAUAUGAAGUACUUUAUUAAGUACCAAAGUCUUGCUAUAUGUGAGUUUGAAAAGAACUUUCCCUUUACCAAGGACACUUACAGUCCUAGAAUCACCCAAAUAUACAUGUUCUUCUCAUUCCCCUACGGUAGUGUAGGAGGUAAACACAUUUCUGUUUGUACAGAUAUACCUAGUAGCACCAGAGUCUACCACUCAUUCUUGCACAUUAGCUAGAAGAAAAGUAUGAGAAAUGACCGCAACAAUAAUGUCAUCUCAUUCAACUAAAUUCACUUUUGAUUUAAAAGGACUAUUAUUUAUCACUCUUUUCCUGCAAUGAGAACACUUGCAGUCCUAGAAUCACCCAAAUACACAUGUUCUUCUCCUUCCCUCACGGUAGUGUAGGAGGUAAACGCAUUUCUGUUUGUACAGAUAUAUCUAGUAGCACCAGAGUCUACCGCUGUAAUACCCGGCUAGACUCCGGUAUCGGAAUUCCUACCGUCCGGUGGAAUCUCGGAUGUCGAAAGCCUCUAGUAGGGUAGAAACAUGUUUUCAUAAAAUGUUUUAAGGUAUUUCAUGGUUUUAAGUAUGAAAUUAAAUGAGUUUUUGCAUGAAAAGUCUUUGGAGGAAAACCCAGGUUCGGCCGCCGAAAGUCAAGUUCGGCCGCCGAACAUGCUUGCGUUUUGGAGGCACGUUAGGCCCCCGAAAGCAUGAGUGAGGGCAGUCCAGGUUUGGCCGCCGAAACCCAGGUUCGGCGCCGAACAUGGCAUGCAUGCGGAGGCACUUUCGGCCCCCGAACGUGGCCUGGCCAGCCACUAUAAAAGGGUCCCUUAGGUCCGCACGGGCGAGCUUUUUCUUCCCUGUUGUCGGCCAAGGUGAGUCUCCGCCACCCCUCCCUCGAUCUUGAGUGUUUUCCUUAGAUCUUCCAUGAUUUUCACGGGUUUUAACUUCUGUUUUGAAGAUCUGUGAGUAAAGAGCAAGUUUUGGGUACUUGGAGGUUCAAAGAGCUCAAACUCUCCAUCUCCAAGCUAGGAUCGCCUUUCCUCUCGUUUCUUCAAGAGGUAAGCUCGGAUCCACCCUUGUUAUGUGUUUUAAACAAGCAUUAAGUUGUUUUAUGGGUAGAGAUGCAUGUUUAGGCUUGUUGAUGAGUUUAUAGGUUUUGAUGUUUUGAUGAACAAUGUAUGUUGAUUUUUGUGUGUUUGAAGUGUUGUAGUUGGGGUAUAUGCUAGUUUGAGACCCCUAGGUGUAAUGUAUGAUAUGUAUGCAUGUUUUAGAACAAGUUUAUGCAUGAUUGGUGAGUUUGGAGGCAAAAAUGCAUAAGGGAGCCAAGUUUCUGCCCUUUGGCAGAAACCAGGUUCGGCAGCCGAAGGAACUUUCGGCCGCCGAACAUGGCUGGGGAGGCAGGCCUUUCGGCUGCCGAAGUUGCCCCCGAAAGGAGACUUUCGUCUCUGUCUCGGACUUUCGGCCGCCGAAGGUGCCGCCGAACAUGCAUGAGUUUCGCCUCUGUCUGGGAGUUUCGGCCGCCGAAGGUGCCGCCGAACCUGCCUGACUUUCGGCUCUGGAGGGACUUUCGGCCGCCGAACCUGCCGCCGAAAGUGCCCUGUCCAGCCAUUUCUUGCAUGUUUUUAUGUAGUUGUUUUAUGAUGUUUUAGGGGGUUUUUGGGGAGUAUACUAGAGUUAUGUUUAUGUAUGUUUGGUCCCUCAUUGGAGUCCACCUGUGUAGGUUCGGACCCGAGGAACCGAGGACCCCAGCAGUGAGCCAGCUGCUACAGAGUUUGUCAGAGCUAGCCAGAGGUGAGUGGAAUAAACCUUAAGUUUUAAAAUGAAUGAACUAUGAAUUUUGAGCAUGAUCCAUGCAUCAUGAAUGCCAUGAGAUAUAGUAGGUUGUUUGCAUUAGUAUUCACGAAUAUGUUGCAUUGCAUUUAUGAUGUUGAUGUGGAUUGGUCAUUGGAUGAUCCUUUAGUCCUCAUAUGAUAUGAUGAUGUUAUGGCAUGAUGUGGUAUGGAAGUCCAGGUUGUACCCAUUCUACGUCCCUGGCACAGUUGGACUGUAUGAUAUGUUAUGUUAUGUUAAGAGAAAGACCGGUUGUACACAUUCUACGUCCCGGCACAGUUGGACUAUGUAGAGGACUAUUGGUGACAAUACCAUCCGAGAUGUGAUUUGUUGUGAUGUGUUGCAUUACAUAAUGGCAUGAAAUUUUAAUAUAUGUUUUCACUAUUCUGCUCACUGGGCUUUGUAGCUCACCCCUCUCCCCUAACCCCAGAUGUGCAGGUACAGGGUAGACCAUGAGGUUAGCCAGAGUUUUGAAGUAUGUUAUGUAAUAGUUAGAUUGUGGACAUGACAAUUGUACUAUGAUGUAAUGUAAGAGAUUACAGUAUGUUAUGUAAAGAGGUAUAUUGAGGUUAUAGAUGUGCUUGACCCUAUGAGUUUUGUAAUCCCUUGUUAAUGCAUGAUCUUAGUUAUAUUGAUGAUGCAGAUGAAAGCCAACUCAUCUCAUGUUGUAUCGCCCGUUGGGGCAUUGAUGAGAUCCCACAGAGGGAUCAUGAUUAUGAUCAUGACUAUGUACAUGUAUGUUCAGGUUGAGUUGGAUGUUUAAAGGAAAAGUUUCAAUUUUUAUGCAUGUUGUUGAUCAUGUAUGGGAUUAUACAGGUUUACAAGUUAUAUGUCAGCCUUGCUACGGGUCCCGGCGGCCUUAAGCCGAUCUGGAUCCUAGCGCCGGUAGGGGUCCGAUUUUCGGGUCGUUACAACCGCCCAUUCUUGCACAUUAGUUAGAAGAAAAGUUUGAGAAAUGACCUUAACAAUAAUGUCGUCUCAUUCAACUAAAUUCACUUUUGAUUUAGAGGGAUUAUCAUUUAUCACUAUUUUCCUGCACUGAGGUGCAUGAUGACCCGGCUUACCACAUACAAAACAAUGUUCUUUCUUUUUAAAGAUGAGAUUAUUAAACUUAGGUUUGUUAUUAGGUUUCUUAUUUUCGUACCUAUUAUUUGAUUUCUGCACUUUUUCUUGUACAAGAUUUGCCUUUGUAGCUAGCUCUUUACUUUUUGCAGCUUUUAGUUCCCUCCUGUUUGUAUCUUCAAUGAUGAUGUGGGUGAUGAGAUCUGACAGUGUCAACUGCUUGUGCUUGUGUUUCAAUUGUUGCUUGUAGUCACUCCAAGAAUUUGAUAAUUUUUCUAUCAGCAGUCCAGCCACAAAUUCAUCUUAUAGAAUGAUGUCAAAUUAUAUACCGCUUAUUGAUUUGUGCAAAUCGCUGGUCAAAUCCACCAUCUGAGAAUGGUUCAGUCAAUUUGCGGGCUUGGGCCAUUCCUUGCUUCUGUGCAGUAUGAUCAUCUGAUAGGUUUGCUUAAAUCACUAGUCAAGUCCAUCAUCUAAGAAUGGUUAAGUCAAGUAGCGGGCUUGGGCCAUUCUUGGAUUCUGUGUAAUAUGAUCAUCCGAUAAGUUUGCCCAAAUUGCUGGUCAAGUCAAUUUCUGUAAUACCCGGCUAGACUCCGGUAUCGGAAUUCCUACCGUCCGGUGGAAACUCGGAUGUCGGAGAUCUCUAGAAGGGUAGAAUCAUGUUUUCAUGUUUUAAUAGUUUUAAGUAUGAAAUUAAAUGAGUUUUUGCAUGAAAAGUCUUUGGAGGAAAACCCAGGUUCGGCCGCCGAAAGUCAAGUUCGGCCGCCGAACGUGCAUGCGUUUUGGAGGCACGUUAGGCCCCCGAAAGCAUGAGUGAGGGCAGUCCAGGUUCGGCCGCCGAAAGUCAAGUUCGGCCGCCGAACAUUUCAUGGAUGCGGAGGCACAUUCGGCCCCUGAACGUAGCCUGAGCAGCCGCCUAUAAAAGGGGCACUUAGCCGAAAUGGGCGAGCUUUCUCCCAUUUUCGGCCACAGCAAGCUUCCGACCUUCCUUUUGCAAAUCUAGUGUUUUUCCUCCAAAUCCCCACCAUUUUUCUUGAGUUUUAAGCUUGCAUUGAAGGUUUUGAACUGUUGAAACAAGUUUUGGAGCUUUGGGAACUCAGGAGCUCAUUUUCGUAGAUCUCCAAGUUUAGGUCGUCUCCCUCUCGAUCUUCAAGAGGUAAGAGCCGAUCUUAAGCUCCUCAUGUGUUUUAAGUAAGUUUUAAGUGAUUUUAUGGGGUAGAAUGACAUGUAUAGGGUUGUAUGAGUUUUUAAGCAAAUGUUAGGUUUUAUGUGAUUCUUGAACAAUGUGGCAUGUUUGAGUAUGCUUGAAGUGUUGUAGUUGGGGCAUUUGUUUGUUUGAGGCCCCUAGGAACUUGUAUGCAUGAUUUAACUGAGGUAUAUGCAUGAUUGGUGAGUUUGGAGGCGAAAANNNNNNNNNNNNNNNNNNNNNNNNNNNNNNNNNNNNNNNNNNNNNNNNNNNNNNNNNNNNNNNNNNNNNNNNNNNNNNNNNNNNNNNNNNNNNNNNNNNNNNNNNNNNNNNNNNNNNNNNNNNNNNNNNNNNNNNNNNNNNNNNNNNNNNNNNNNNNNNNNNNNNNNNNNNNNNNNNNNNNNNNNNNNNNNNNNNNNNNNNNNNNNNNNNNNNNNNNNNNNNNNNNNNNNNNNNNNNNNNNNNNNNNNNNNNNNNNNNNNNNNNNNNNNNNNNNNNNNNNNNNNNNNNNNNNNNNNNNNNNNNNNNNNNNNNNNNNNNNNNNNNNNNNNNNNNNNNNNNNNNNNNNNNNNNNNNNNNNNNNNNNNNNNNNNNNNNNNNNNNNNNNNNNNNNNNNNNNNNNNNNNNNNNNNNNNNNNNNNNNNNNNNNNNNNNNNNNNNNNNNNNNNNNNNNNNNNNNNNNNNNNNNNNNNNNNNNNNNNNNNNNNNNNNNNNNNNNNNNNNNNNNNNNNNNNNNNNNNNNNNNNNNNNNNNNNNNNNNNNNNNNNNNNNNNNNNNNNNNNNNNNNNNNNNNNNNNNNNNNNNNNNNNNNNNNNNNNNNNNNNNNNNNNNNNNNNNNNNNNNNNNNNNNNNNNNNNNNNNNNNNNNNNNNNNNNNNNNNNNNNNNNNNNNNNNNNNNNNNNNNNNNNNNNNNNNNNNNNNNNNNNNNNNNNNNNNNNNNNNNNNNNNNNNNNNNNNNNNNNNNNNNNNNNNNNNNNNNNNNNNNNNNNNNNNNNNNNNNNNNNNNNNNNNNNNNNNNNNNNNNNNNNNNNNNNNNNNNNNNNNNNNNNNNNNNNNNNNNNNNNNNNNNNNNNNNNNNNNNNNNNNNNNNNNNNNNNNNNNNNNNNNNNNNNNNNNNNNNNNNNNNNNNNNNNNNNNNNNNNNNNNNNNNNNNNNNNNNNNNNNNNNNNNNNNNNNNNNNNNNNNNNNNNNNNNNNNNNNNNNNNNNNNNNNNNNNNNNNNNNNNNNNNNNNNNNNNNNNNNNNNNNNNNNNNNNNNNNNNNNNNNNNNNNNNNNNNNNNNNNNNNNNNNNNNNNNNNNNNNNNNUGGACAUGACAAUUGUAUUAUGAUGUAAUGUAAAAGUGUUUUAAGUUAUGUUAUGUAAUUUGAAUAUUGAGGAUAGAGUUGUGCUUGACCAAUACAGAUUGUUAAUCCCACUUGUAUGUACAUGGUCUUUUUGAUAUGAGAUAUGAGGUUAUGUUUCAGCCAAGCUUAUGUAUGAUGAGAUACCCCAUUGGAGCAUUUUGAUGAGGGCUCCAGUGGAGGUUUAUGUUAUGUUUAUGUUUAUGUACAGGUUGAGCUUGGUUGUUAUAUGAGAAUGAUUACAGGUUAUGUCAGGCUUGCUACGGUUCCCGGCGGCCUUAUGCCGAUCUGGAUCCUAGCGCCGGUAGCGGUCCAAUUUCCGGGUCGUUACAAUUUCAGCGCUUUUAAACCACUUUUUAUUAAAUCUUAUUCUCUUUUUGCUUUUCUGCAAAAUAUAACAAAAAAUACAAAAUUAGUCAGAAAAAUACUCAAUUUAAUGAAAAGCAUAGUAUGAAAAAUGAGUUGAAAUUAUGUUCGAUAACCUAAUUUAUUAAGAACAUUUAAGAUGAGGUGAUUAACGAAACUACCUGUAUCCACCAAGACUCGCCUCACCUCAUACCUGUUUAGAUGGAUAUUGAUGACUAGCGGGUCAUUUUGAAAAAAUUCCAUCACCUUGUCUGCAGGUCCGAACCUUACUUCCUGUUUGGCCCAUGGUUCCUACUCAACUGACAUGAUGUCUUCUGCGACACAUUUAUUUUUUCCUUGCCAUCGUUGGGUCCUCCUGCAAUUACUUGUAUAACCCCUACAACUAUCAGGGGUAGUUUCAGGAGUUUUUACCUCAAGUUUGGGCCUUCUCUUUUCUCUAUUCUUUCUAGCAAACUUUCAAAGUGUGUUAUCCCUUAUUAAUCUCUCGAUCUUGUCUUUCAACUUCUGGCACUCCUCCGUUGUAUGCCCAUAGUCUUCGUGAAAGCAACAGUACUUGGUCCUGUCUCGCCUUUCGGUACUCUCAGGGUUGAGCUUGGGAGGCCACCUGACUUCCUUAUUAUUUUUCUGAUCCACAUUAGAAUACGUGUUCGUAAUUCAUUCAAUAGAGUAUAAUUCUUAUACUUACUUUAGUCAUCCCUUCUUCGAGGGACUGGAUAACUUCUGUGGUCUCUUUCAUAUCCUCGCCUCUUUAGAUUUUGAUUUUGCUUUUGACUCGUCCUUUUGUCCUCUCUCAAUGCUUGGACUUCGUCAUCUAGCCUGAUGUACUUUUCGGCUUUGUCCAUUAGCUGUUGGUAUGUGGCGGCUGGGUUCUUAAUUAGGAAAUCAUGAACUUGACGUUGCGUGUUCCUUUCAUCAAUGCUUCACAUGCUAUCUCAUGAUUUAAUUCCUCCAUAUAUAUUGCUUCUGCAUUAAACCGUGAGAUAAAGCUCAUCAAAGACUCGCCCUCUCCUUGGCGGAUCUUUCACAAGUCAGAUGAGAGUUUUUUAGGAGGUAUACAAGUAAUAAACCUGGAUUUAAAUAACAUAGCGAAUUGUGUAAAGUUUUGAAUUAAAUCUGGGCUCAGAUGUUGGUACCAUUUCUGAGCCAAACUUGUGAGUGUUAAUGAAAACACUCGGCACAACACGAAAUCGUUGACAUCGUGAAGCUGUAUAGUCAUUCUAAAGAUCGUCAGGUGACUUCUAGGAUUUAAUGUUCCGUCAUAUUUGCUCAAGCCUAGUAGCUUAAACUUAGUUGGGAAAGUUUUUGCUAAGAUCUCUUCUGAUAGGGGCGAGGCAUCGUCCAGGCCAUAGUUCUCCUCCUGCUCCUUCUGGUACCUUUGAAUAGCCCGUACCGGCUUUCAGUCGACGUCCUUCGGAGCAUCGUCUAGUGACUUUUCUUCUUCGAACUUAGCCUUCCCCUUGGACCGCGUCUGGAUCGCCUCUGUCCGAGUCCUUAGGAUAUCAACAGAGGCUUCCUCCAUUCCCUUGGGAGCCAUGAAUGAUGCCUCCUCCCAAGCUUUGUAUUGCUCAAGAAUAGCCUGCAACCUAUAUAUUGGAGCAUUUGUUCAUUGUUCAGAUUAUUGAGAUAUGCUUCGUUGACCAUAGAAAGUGUGUUUUGUCCACUGCUAGGAGCGAAAGAAAUAAUAGCACCCUCAUUGGUAGCAACCUUAGCAGCAGCUCGUGAAUUGUUGGCCAUUUCAAGCGAAAGAAAACAAAGAUUUCUUUUUAAGAGAAAGGGGAUAAGAGACUGGUUUUAAUCCAAAUGAACAUAGAGAAUUUAAUGGAUUAUCCUGACAAUGAAACCAAAUGAUGUGACCGAAAUAAAGUUGUGUUGCAAUUGGUCAACCUGAAAGAAAGAGAAUGUGAAGUGGUUGGUGCCUAUGGUGGCCACUCUGACGUUCAAGUCAGUAAAAUGAAUAAAAGGGCAAAUGUAAGGAAUGGCUUAGAACUCAAGAGUAGUUGUGUAAGAAUGCGUACCUUUGUAUUUGCAAUCAUUAGUUUUUAUAUUGUAAGAAGAUAGAGUUAAUUAUAGUAUUUUCUGAAAAUCUGGUUGGUGCUGGCUAAUUGAUAAGGGAUCCCACCAGCUAAUUGAUCAGGGAUCCCGUGAUUACAGGCAUAAUAGGGAUCUGCUGGAUUGUGCCUGCUAAAGAUAACUUUAUGUGAAGACUAGACCUCUUCAAAGGAGGGCGAGUUUUAAUGAAGAACUGUGUGCUGCAGUGUCUAGGUCUUCCUUUCCACGGUUGAGACCGCAUAUCGGCAUAUGAGAACUCUUGCCACAUGGCUCUGCUUUAUGAUGACAGUCAUGACUUAUUUUGAGUGAUUAUCAUGUUACAUCAAACCUAAAUGCUUUAAUUUUUAUUCCUAUCCUUUAGAUAAACGUUUCUCUUUAUAUUCAAUUAAAUAUGAGAUUAUAAAAAAGCAACAGAUCCAUUAAAAGAACUCUAAAUUAAUUAUCCUAACUAUUAUAAAAAAAAAAAAGUCAAUUUCAUCAAAGUUAAAGAAGCAAAAUAAUAAGGGGUAAAAAUAAAAUAAAAUCAUAACUAAACUUGCUAUAAAUCUUCGUCCUAGGAAAAGAUUAAGGUUGACACUAUGAUUUUAACAUUAGAUUUGAGUUUUUAUAUCAUUCUAAGUAGAUUUUUAAAAUUAAAAAAAAAAAAAGAAGGAAAAGGAUGAAUUGAUUUUUUUUUUUUUUUAAUCUAUAGAUCGAAUUUUGGUCACCAUGAUUCCCAUAUAUAUCUUGUCAACCUAUUUAGUGAGUGGUAUGCAAAGAAGAAGUGAUUAGAUUGGGAUGGGUGGAAAGAUGAUUAAUUAAGAAGAAAUAUUUAAGACUUUAAAAAGAAAGAAUUAAUUGUAUAUAUAUAAAAAGAAAAAUAAAUAGUUGGGGAUUUCAGGAGAAGAGAGAAAUUUUAGGAGAAAAAUGACUUUUACUUAAUCAUUAAACUGUACACUGAUCAUGAAUUGCAUGCAAGUCACUAGCGUCCCCAACUUAGAGUUUCUCCUUGCAAUUGGUGCAAGUCAUCCAUAAAGCAUUCACCACUACAAUUUGAAUCUAAGGAAUUUUUUUUGCCAUCCAUAAUUCUUCUAAAUGUAUCCCCUAAAGUUGGUGAGAGUUGUUUUUGUUGGAUCAAAUGGAGCCCCUACGUAUGUAUCUUGUCUUCACUUAAAUGAGACACUCGCGAUCCUAUCAAUCUUAAUUAUAAAGAAAUAGAAAGUUUAGCCUUUAGCAACUUUUUGAAGCAUAUUUUAAUAUAUCUUCAGUUGAAUAAAUAUAUUUUUAUAAAAUAACAGUUCUAUCUUAAAUAUUAAGAGAUGUAGUUUUCAAUUUGAAAGUCAAUAUUCAACCAUAAAAACCAUUCUCUUUGCACGUCAAUAUAUAGCAUCUCUGUAAUAUCAACUAGUUUUUUAUAAUGAAGUGCCUCAUCAUUUGUGGUAGAAAAUGUUCUCUCACUACUAAUACUUUUUCAUAGCUUGAAUUGAGGGUAUCUGUCAUGCCAAAACCUAGUCCCAAAAAAAAAAAAAAACUAUAGAGCAAGAAACUUGUUUCCACUUUGUUUUCACAAGCUUUGCCUUCAUGACAACUUUUGCUACUCUUUUCAAGAUCAUAAUCAUUUGAAAUAAGCUAUUUGUUAUGGUUUCUGUGCUUCUCUUGUUACCAACUUAAUCGAACUCCUUCGCUUUACUUGGCAUUUCGAGCAACCCGAGUGGCAAAAACAUCCAAAACCAAAGAUAAUGCCGACACAAGCACCUGAAACUAUUUUGCCACCAGAUCGACUACAUUAACAUCCAUAGAUGAGCAUCUCCUCAACUACAAUUUUAUAGCAAAUACAGAACCUUGUGCAAUGUCAAAUAAAGCUCUUACAAGCUUAGAACAAUAGAAUCAUGUAGGCUUGAACCAAUAACAUGUUGAAUUUCCUCAAGGAAUAGGAGAAGGUUGCUGACUACGUGAAUCAGUUUAUGCUUAUUUCGUUCAUUGGUAGAGAAAUAUUUGGACUUGGACUCGCAAAUUUAGAGAGCUAGACUGGUUGGCAAGGCAAGUAAUAUCAUUGCUUCUUAGGGGUGUAAACGUACUGAGCUGAACCUAGUUUAAAGAACUCAAUCUUGAUUCAUUAAGAUUCUUUUGAGUUCAAACUAAACUCUAAUUUUAUUAAUUACGAAUUCGAGCCGAGUAUUAAUAAGUUCAAACAUGACUCUUUUAGCAAAUAAAAUUAGAUGAAUCGAGUUUUUAUUAAAUUUAGUUUCAAAUAGUUAUGAAUAAUUUAAUUUAUUUACAUGUAUAAUGAGUUUUAAUUUAAAAUUUAUAAGUUUAAACUAAAUAAUUUUAGUUAAAUAAGUAUAUGUAUAUAAAUUAACUAGCAAACUUGUAAAGAACGAACUCUUAAAUUUUAAUGAUCCGAAUAUCAACAAGUUUUAAGAAUAUAAUUAAACUAUAUAGAGUUAAAUUUUAAAAAAUUUAAAUUUGUCUCAUGAAAAUAUAUGCAGGGUUUAGCUUAGUUCUGUCAUGAUAUUAAUUUCAAUUUGUUUAACAAGAUUGUUCACGAGGCUGUUCACGAGUCUACUCAUGAAUAUAAAGACGAGGCAAACUCACCAGUCUUAACAAGCCAACUAUUAUGUUGCUUAAUAUACGAGCUUAAAAAUUAAGCUCAACUUUGACUUAUUUAUAAAUCGAAUUGAGCCUAAUCAAGAUUUAUCAAAUCGAAACUCAAAUAGCUCACCAACUGUAACGACCCGGAAACCGAUACCCCUCUGUAACGGCCCGAACCGCCACCGGCGAGAGGAUCCAGAUCGGCUUAAGGCCGCUGGGACCCGUAGCAAGCCAAACAUACCUCCUAUCACCUGGUCAAAUCCCAUACAUGAUCAAAACUUUAACAUAAAAACUGGAACAUCUGAUGUAAAUACCGAACUUGACCUGUAUGCAACAUAACUGGAAACCUAAAAGAACCCCAUACUAGAGCUCUCAACAAAACUCUAGCUGGGUCAACAUAACAUACAUCAAGCCGGAGUCACAUCAAAAGAACUAGAACCUAACCUGUGCAUGCAUCAAACCACAAACAUAAGACCUCCUCUAGGGUCCUCAUCCAUUACCAUAGCGUGGUACACAACACAUGCCACAAGAUUAGUUCAAACUCAACUCCACAUUAAACCCUAUCAUGCAUAUCUACCCAAACACAUACAUCAAAUCUCCUUAAAACUUACUUAAAACUCAUUAAAACAUAAAGAAAAGCAGAGAUCUACACUAACCUCUUGGAGAUCGAGGGUUGGUGUGACCCGAACCUUGGAGAUGUGGAGGAAACUAGCUUCAGGGUCUCCAAGCUCCAAAUCCUAGAUCCAAGCUUAAAACUCUUCAAAACCAAGGAUAAAACUCAUAACACUUUGGAAAGUCAAAGGAAAACUUGAAAUCGACCAAGGGAGGACAUGAACUCACCUUAGCCCGAGAAUGGGGAAAAAAAACUCGCCCAUUUUCGGUCUGAGGCCUUAUAUAGGCGACCGGCUUCGGCGGCCAAACCGGCACCCUAAAGUCCCCCAUGUUCGGCGGCCGAACCUGGUUUCUGCCCAACUCAACUUUCGGAAGCCAAAAGUCCAUCCGAAACCAUCUCAUGUUCGGCGGCCGAACAUCACCUUCGGCGGCCGAACAUCACCUUCGGCGGCCGAACCUGGGUUCUUCCUCCUUGGCCUUUUCUCUUCAAAACUCAAUUUUCUUUCAAUUAAAACCCUUAAAAUCAUUUGAAAAUAUUUUUAGAAAACACAUUAUACCCUUCUAGAAAGAUCCAACACCCUAGAUUCCGCCGGAAGGCAGGAAUCCCGAUGCCGGAUUCUAGCCGGUAUUACAUUCUUCCCCCCUUCAAGAACAUUCGUCCCCGAAUGUUCCACAAACAUACAUACAUAAAAACAUGGCAUCAAUCAUACAUGAACAAGUAAGCAAACCAGCAAGCAAAACCUAAAAAUCUCUCUCCUGAAAGAGAGACACAGGCACUACUGGAGUAAAACUCCCGGGUCUCCAAAAGAAACACCUUAGCAGUACCCAACCUACUCCUGAACUCCACUGGCUUCCGCUGUGCUACUCUGAUCCUUACUCUUCUCUUCUCUUCUCAUCUUUACUAACAGGCUUCUUCUCACUGCUAACCCAACACUAACUCUAACUCUCAUAGGUAGUACCCGGAUUUCAGAUCUAUCUUGGAAAACAAACAGCUCCUACUAGCUGUCCCAAUAAAUCAUCCAUCCUGCAUGGGAAUACCUGCCCUUGGUAGUGACCUUGGUCAACUACUUACAGUCGUUACCAGUCUCAAGGGUCUACCCUUCGUUUCCCACAACAACACUGGAACACUCCAGGGUAAGGUACUAGGUCGGAUAAAACCCUUAUCUACCAAGCCUCACCUCUAUUUUGACAACUCUCAACUACAGGUGCCAUUCUAUAGGGAAGGACAGAAAUGGUUCUGCGUCCAGACACCACUCCUAUACCCAACUCCAACUCCCUGACAGAUGGUAAACCUGACAACUCGCCUGGGAAGACAUCUAAGAACUCUCUAACCAAAGACACUGAGGUUGGUUCCCGGACCUGACUGCAAAACUCUCAAACAAGAGCUAGAACCCUCUGACAACCCCUCCUACGUACCCUACGAACCUGAUAGGCUGACAUCAAACCUCUAGGCAUCCCUACUAUGUUCUCUCAGAAGAAAACCUCUGACCCAUUCAGUCCUCUGAACUUGACUACCUCGUCUCUGCAGACCAAGAUAGCACCACGAGCAGAAAAACCCAAUCCAACCCUAAACUGACGUCCAGACAGUUAAGUCUAGGACCUCAAAGUCGGGUGGAAGGCAUUUACCCUCAACUGUCACAGAACUGGACCGGCAGACUGACUCUGCCACAGAUGGAUCACACGAGAGUCUACUGACCAAAGAGAACACUCUAGCUCAGAAGCUAUCAACUCAACCUCUUGACGGCUCCUAGAGCAACUAAAGAAAGAGAAAAACACUAGGGUUCACAAAAACAUACACAUCAGAACAUUCAAAAGUGAGCGUACCUGACACCACCAUGUUCGAUGUGUCUGCCUCUUGCUGAGCUUGGGUGAAGAUCCGAGCUGGAGCUGACAGACCUUCUCCACGGGAACCUUCAGAAAGAAAGGCUAACUCUCUUCCUCUACCUCGACCACUACCUGAGACAUGGCUAGAGCUACUGGCUGAGCCGCUCUACCUGAAGCUGCUUGCUGGGACGGAGCCAACCUGGGCGCAGUGGGACACUCACGUGCUAUGUGCCCCUCCUGUCCGCACCUGUAACAUACGUCAGUCCCAUAACGGCAGACUCCCUUGUGCGGUCUACCGCACUUCAAGCAUCUUGAACUGCCUGAGCCAGAGCUUGAGCCACCAAAACCCAGACUAGCCUUCAACCGAUUCCACAACUUGCUCUUCUUUGACCUUCUCAGGCCUCUGUUCCCCUUUUUAGUGGUGUUUCCCCACCUUUUAUCUCUUGAGGCAGCAGUACUUAGAGUGGAGGGAUCAAUCCCCCCUGAACUUGAGAUCCUGGAAUCCUGAGUCUGAGCAUCCUCCUGAGAAUCUCCCAUGCCUUCCUCUGGCACUCUGAUUCCCAAACUAACAUCCCUUCUCUGAACCUCCAACUCUACUUCCCUCAUACUAGCUGACAUCCUUCUUGGAGCCAUUCCUUCUCUGCUUACAUCAAAAGACCUUCCAGGGUCCCUUGAUGUUCCCCAUCUGCUGACUCCCCAUGACUGCGCUCUUGGCAGAGCAGGAGGAAAGGUGUCCAUACCUUCCCUCUCAGAUGGAACUCCAGUCGAUUCCACAGAUCGAUGGGCACCUCGCAUUCUGGCUCCUCUGAAGAACAACACACAAGCAUACAAACAUUAGCAUCAUACGGUUCAUAUGAAAACACAUGAACCUACACAUACAUGCAUAACAUGUCAUACAUAACAUUAAUGCACAUGCAUAAACUCAUGGCAUUUCACAUCAUCAAACAAGACAGGACUCAACAUCCUAUCCUAGUGGACAUGAUUCUUCCUAUUGUGCUUGCCCUUCUAUGACCUCUAAGCCAACCUCUUUCCGAUGUGCAACACACCGUACUCUCGAGGCCCAAAGCUCUGAUACCAUUCUGUAACGACCCGAAAAUCGAUACCCCUCUGUAACGGCCCGAACCGCCACCGGCGCUAGGAUCCAGAUCGGCUUAAGGCCGCCGGGACCCGUAGCAAGCCAAACAUACCUCCUAUCACCUGGUCAAAUCCCAUACAUGAUCAAAACUUUAACAUAAAAACUGGAACAUCUGAUGUAAAUACCGAACUUGACCUGUAUGCAACAUAACUGGAAACCUAAAAGAACCCCAUACUAGAGCUCUCAACAAAACUCUAGCUGGGUCAACAUAACAUACAUCAAGCCGGAGUCACAUCCAAAGAACUAGAACCUAACCUGUGCAUGCAUCAAACCACAAACAUAAGACCUCCCCUAGGGUCCUCAUCCAUUACCAUAGCGUGGUACACAACACAUGCCACAAGAUUAGUUCAAACUCAACUCCACAUUAAACCCUAUCAUGCAUAUCUACCCAAACACAUACAUCAAAUCUCCUUAAAACUUACUUAAAACUCAUUAAAACAUAAAGAAAAGCAGAGAUCUACACUAACCUCUUGGAGAUCGAAGGUUGGUGUGACCCGAACCUUGGAGAUGUGGAGGAAACUAGCUCCGGGGUCUCCAAGCUCCAAAUCCUAGAUCCAAGCUUAAAACUCUUCAAAACCAAGGAUAAAACUCAUAACACUUUGGAAAGUCAAAGGAAAACUUGAAAUCGACCAAGGGAGGACAUGAACUCACCUUAGCCCGAGAAUGGGGAAAAAAAACUCGCCCAUUUUCGGUCUGAGGCCUUAUAUAGGCGACCGGCUGAGCCACCUUCGGCGGCCAAACCAGCACCCUAAAGUCCCCCAUGUUCGGCUGCCGAACUUGAGGUUCGGCAGCCGAACCUGGUUUCUGCCCAACUCAACUUUCGGAAGCCAAAAGUCCAUCCAAAACCAUCUCAUGUUCGGCAGCCGAACAUCACCUUCGGCGGCCGAACCUGGGUUCUUCCUCCUUGGCCUUUUCUCUUCAAAACUCAAUUUUCUUUCAAUUAAAACCCUUAAAAUCAUUUGAAAAUAUUUUUAGAAAACACAUUCUACCCUUCUAGAAAGAUCCAACACCCUAGAUUCCGCCGGAAGGCAGGAAUUCCGAUACUGGAUUCUAGCCGGGUAUUACACCAACAAUUUAGUUAUUACACCUCUAAUGGUUCUAAUGGUUCUAUACUCUCUAGUAGAGUUAAUGCUGGUGUGAGUACAAGUGAAGCCAUAAACACCUUACAAUGUUUAAAAUUCUCUCCAAACCCUAAAUAAAACAAAACCUAACCUCUUCAAUAUUUUUCCCAGCAGCCCCUUCACCCAUAUUUCCCUCUUAUUAUUUUCUAAUCCACAAAAUUAACUUUAAAUAUUCAAAACUCUCAACUUCAAAUCUUUUAUUUAAAAUUUUCUUCUCUUAAAAGUUAUUCGAUCAUUAUUUAAUUUAUUUUUAUAUAUUAUUUUUUAUUUUUAAAAAGUAAUAUAUAUUUUUAUUUAUUUUACUUAAUUAUUAAUAUAUUUUGUAAUUGAAAUUCUAUGUUAAACUGGUUAAUUUAAAAAAAAAAUUUUAAAAUUUUAGAAAAAAAAGUUUUAUGUGUAAUGUUUAGAUUAUUCAAUGGUUUCAUAAAAUAUUUAAAUUUAGAAAAAAAAAACAAAUGUUAAAUCAAGAAAAUGUAAUUUUAAUAGGUAAUAGGUUGUAUUAUUUAAAUUUAAAAAACAUUUUAAUAUAUAUCAAAUAUUGUUUUUAUGAGUAAUAAAUUAGUCUAUUUAAAUUUAGAAAAAUUGAAUUUUAAAUACUGGUUAAAUAUGAUUAUUAUUUUUAGUUAUAUGUAAAAUUUGUCUUAAGUGAUACUAAAUUAUAGGCAUGUAAUUAUCUUAUAAAAAAUAUAAUUUUAUUAUGUAAAAUCAAUAUCAUCAGUGAAAAAAAUAUUAGGGAAUGUCAUUUGAACAUGAUCUAUUGAAGGAUUGAUCAUGAUUUAUGUUAAAAGAAAUAUAUUUAUAAAUAUAGAUAAUGAUACUAUUAUAAAUAAAUUUCUAAGUAAUGAAAAAAAUAGGGAAAAUUACUUUUUAGUCCCUGAGGUUUAAAGUAAUUAACACUUCUGUCUCUCUAUUUUGGCGAUCCAACACUUAAGUCCCUCAUUUUCUCUUCCGUCCAAAUUCGUAGUCCUUCCGUCCAUUUAAACCGUUUGGUCAAAGAGUCAAAAGUGAGAGGUGAUAAUUUUUUCCAGAAAUACCCUUCUCUUAAUGUGAAAUUCCUAUUUUUUUUCUCUUUCAUGUUUUUUCUAGUUACAGAUUUCAUAUGUUCUCUAAUUAAGAAGAAGAAGAAGAAGAGGAAGAAGAGACAUUUGGAUUUAGGUUUAGUGAGGGUUAAUUUUGUCAAUUCACGUGUCCCAAACGGUUAUUUUGGAUGGAAGGACUACGGAUUUGCACAGAAAAUAAAGUGAGGGACUUAAGUGUUGGGUCGCCAAAAUAGAGGGACAAAAAUGUUAAUUAUGUUAAAUCUCAGGGGCUAAAAAGUAAUUUUCCAAAAAAAAAAUAAAGGCUCUUGCAAUUUAAUUAAAAUAUAUAAAUUAAUUAUUAUAAUUCUAUUUUAUUUUUUUAUAUUAUAAUAAUAUAUAAAUUAAUAAUUAUAAUUCUAUUUAAUUUAAUAUUAUUUUUUAAAAAAAUUCAUAAUAUAUCUUGAUAUUUAAUAAUUGCAAAAUUAAUAAAAAAUGUUCUUUCCUUAUGGACAUAGGAGGACAUCCUAAUAUUAAUGGAGAUGCAGAAAAUGGACAGUGACGUGUCCGCUAUCUUUGCUUUCCUCACAUCGCAGCAAAACAGACGUCACGCUCUUCCUCCAUUUCUCUCUCGCGCAGAGCUAAGUUAUGCUCUUCUUCUCGGAAUUCAGAUCCUAGGGUUUCGUUUCCUUUCCCUCUUCUUUCUCAGAAGUUAAACCCCACCUAAGCCUUCUCAAUCCUCUACAUUUUGCCUCUUCGCUUUCCACAUUUCACCUCCAUUAUCAAUUUCUAUAUUCCAGGAAAAUCUAACUCCUCUGGACCUGCCACAUCAAUCAAUUCAUGGCCAAAACCAAACCAGGCAAAAAAGACCUCGAUUCCUACACUAUCAAAGGCACCAACAAAGUUGUUCGACGUAUGUACUCUCUCUCUCUCUCUCUCGCUCUCUCUAUUGGUGGAAUCUCCAUCAUUCCUUUUUUGCCUUUGGGAACCCAUGAAUUUCUCAUCUUUUUCCCCCUUUUAGAACCCAUAUUCUCAUAUUGUUUCCUUUUUUUGACGUUAAAGAUUUUGAAAACCCAGUAUUAAUGGAAGUUUUCAUACUUUGUUUUUCAUCAUUUUUAAUGUUGGGUCAUUUGUUUUCCCGUUUGGGUCUCUGAAGACCGUGGAAGUUGCUACUUUUUUGCUUAUUCUCAAAAACCCCAAAAUCUCGUUUUUAUGAUAAUUUUUGAACCGCCCAUUUUGCAGAAAUAUUGCCUAACUUUUAUUUUUUGAUCAUUCAAUGUUUUGUUCAUUUUGUUGCAGCUGGUGAUUGUGUGUUGAUGCGCCCAUCGGACUCCGAUAAGCCUCCCUACGUCGCACGAGUUGAGAAAAUUGAGGCCGAUCAUCGCAAUAAUGUCAAAGUCCGUGUCCGGUGGUACUAUCGGCCAGAGGAGUCCAUUGGUGGCCGCCGUCAAUUCCAUGGGGCAAAAGAGCUCUUCUUAUCGGACCACUACGAUGUGCAAAGUGCACACACAAUUGAAGGCAAGUGCAUCGUGCACUCAUUCAAGAACUACACUAAGCUUGAAAAUGUUGGAGCUGAGGACUACUUCUGUAGAUUUGAAUACAAGGCUGCCACUGGUGGGUUCACCCCUGAUCGGGUAGCUGUGUGAGUAUUCUUUUGCAUUUUCUGUUAUUUGGGUUGAAUUGAUUUUGUAGGUUUUUAAGUGUUGAAGUAAUUGGAUUAUUCAACUGAGACCUGGAUUCUUUUUUCUUCCUUGUAAGGUACUGUAAAUGUGAGAUGCCAUACAAUCCAGAUGAUCUAAUGGUGCAGUGCGAGGGUUGCAAAGAUUGGUAAAUUUUUUGCCAACUCUCAAUUUUUAACAAGAAUUAUAUAUAUUAAAUUGCAAAGCUUACAUUUACAUAUUCUGCUGAUCUUUUAAUUUGUAGAAGCCACAUGAAUUUUGAAUUAGUGUGGACAUACUGUCCUUUUGGUCUGUUUAUCAAAUGUUUCACGGUAGUAUUUCCAUUAUUGAUAUACUUAUAACCUUGCGCUCAAUUUAAACCUUUGUUUGGCUGGUUAAACACUUAGUUAACUUAAGUGCACCAAGUGAUGCUGUACCUUGAAUGUUUAGAGGAAGUAUAUCCAUCUUAUAGUAUUUUCAUAUUUCGUUGUUUAUUUGGACUGUCGCCAAAAGCAAUAAUUGGUGCCAAUGUGUCAUUAAGCUUGUGAGUUGCAUGAUGCUGCAAAGCUCUAGCUUAUGUAAGGUUUUUAAUGAAUGAAUCUAGCUUGAACUAAGUGAAGCUUGCUGAAGCACUUGCAUUAAUUGUGUAUGGGUCUGAGUCAGCCUGUAUGUGGGCACGUUUCAUAUCUAACAGUCUUUUACAAUAGACUAAAGAAGUAACACACACACACACACACACACACACACCCACCCACCCACCAUGUACUUCUAGUAAGGUCCCUAAAUGUUAAGCAUCUAGAAAUGACAUUAUAAUAAUUAGGAUGGUUAGCUAUGUUGCUGAAGCACAUGCAUUAAUUGUGUAUGGGUCUGAGUACUGUAUGUGGGCACGUUUCAGAUCUAACAGUCUUUUACAAUAGACUAAAGAAGUAAAACACACACACACACACACACACACACCAUGUACUUGUAGUAAGGUCCCUAAAUGUUAAGCAUCUAGAAAUGACAUUAUAAUAAUUACGAUGGUUAGCUAUGUUGCUGAAGCACUUGCAUUAAUUGUGUAUGGGUCUGAGUCAGCCUGUAUGUGGGCACUUUUCAGAUCUAACAGUCUUUUACAAUAGACUAAAGAAGUAACACACACACACACACACCAUGUACUUGUAGUAAGGUCCCUAAAUGUUAUGCAUCUAGAAAUGACAUUAUAAUAAUUAGGAUGGUUAGCUUUUGGUGAUCGAAUGAUUAAUAAUUGUUGUUAUAUGCCUGAUGAUCGAAAGUAGUAAACACCUGAUAUUGAGUUGUAAGCAGAAAACUUAUGUUAUAUUGCAGGUGCUUACUUAAAAAUGUGUCAUCUUGGUGUUUGGUGUAGUUUCAAAUCACCUUUUAUCAUAGUUUCAACAUCAUAUUAUUAUGAAUUGGAUUCAUGAACUUUCUUACUUGUAGUAUUAAGAAAGGUCGCAUGGAGUUUUGAUGGGUUCUUUGAACUUUUUUGGAUUAAUUGUAACAUUGUGUUUCUUGUCUGUCAAAGCUCAUUAACUGUAGAUUGUUUAAACUUUUAGAUGAAGUACUCAAUUUAUAUUGGAAUUUGGAACUCUUUCACAGCUGAUUGGGUUUAUUUAUUUAUUUUUAUUCUUCUAUCAACUAAAUUUGGAAGGGACGCUUUCCUUUAAUAUCCUUAACCAAGUGGAAUAGACAGAUCCAUUUAGCUGAUCCAUUAGAUUGAGAUUAAUGCUUGAUUUUACCAAGUAGAAACAUUAUGGAAAUAGAUCGAAACCAGAAUUUGAUGGUUGAACACUUAUUUAACCGUGGUGCGCUUUUUUGAAGUUGUGAUAUAUCAUAUACUGCAUAAUCAAAUAUUACAACUUGUCGAAUUGGAUUGUUUUUUUGUGCUUGAGUGAUUAUGCAAUAGCAGUAAGUUCUUGAGUGAUUAUGUAGCAGUAAGAACACUAAAAACUGUGAUUUCCUAACCGCUUUGCUAAUACAUUGCAGGUUUCAUCCUUCUUGUAUGGGUAUGACAAUUGAAGAAGCCAAAAAAUUGGAUCACUUUCUGUGUUUUGACUGUUCCUCUGAUGAUGAUGCCAAAAGGACUUUGAACGCUUUCCCAGUAUCACCAUCUGUUGAGGCCAAGGUGAACAUUGUGUCCCAUCUCCCUAGUACAACUACAGGUGUGGGUGAAUAAGUAGCGCCUAGGUGUCAAAUUAUCAUGAGAACUAGUGAUCAGCUUCGCUGCUUGUGUACUGAUAUUAUUUGUUCUUCCAGUUCUGGUGGUUUUAAUCUUUUACAACUUGGUACUUGGUUUCUCCAGCCAUCCUUUUUCCCUGUCAGUUUUGCAAUCAAGUUAUAUUCUCAUCUCAAAGAUUAUAGGAUGAUGCUCAGCUUGUUGUCUUAGAUGUCAUGCUUUGGUCUUGCACAAUCUUUGCCCACCUUAUCUGUCAUAUAACCUGUUUUCACUGUGCAACCAAAUUUCAGUUUUGUUACCUAUUGGCAUGUAACUAAUGAUAAAAAAUGCCAACUGAUUUUGACGGUAUGGAUGUAUAGGGGCUUCUUAAUAUGAAUGCAGGAAAUUUCUAUAAAGUUUGAUAUGGAAGAAAUAGCUGAGAGCCGCAUUAAUUUGGAGGCAUAUAUACUGUGAUUAUGACAUCGUUAAGUGAUUAAAGUAGUGCAAACAUUGUAGAAGAGUACAAUACUCACUAUGCUGAUACUGCAUAGAGCUCUACUGAUUUGUGUUAAAGUUUAUCCUGGGCUGAUUGUGCCCUUGCUAGUUGCAAAUUUUGGUUCCAUGUACUAAUAUUCUAAGGCCUCUUGGGCCUUUGGGAUUGUUGUUAUUGGUCGUGUUUCGUACAUUCAAAAACACAGAGGAAUAUUGGCCAAAUUAUGUUCAGUUCAUGGGGAACUAAGGAUUACUGACCUGAGCAUUACUAUUUCCAUUGGCGGGCAUGAAAAGGUGUAUCUUAACAUGAUGGUCCAUCAAAUGACAUUUUACUUGUUCAAUUGUAUUGCAACAUACACCUCAGAUGGUACGUAAAUAUUGGCCGAGUUAAUUUGUCUGUUAAUGAACAAAUGCACAUGGGACAGGGGGUUGGCGUUUGAUUUGGGAUUUCUUUUUUAGUUUCUUAACAAGCAUGCCAUCAGCUUCUUAUUGCAAUUAAAUUUAAACUGUGUAGUUAUAUUGUUUCAAGGUAGAGCAGAGGAUUAGCAAGUAGAAUACAUGCUUAAUUAAUUUAGAUCAUCGAAUGUUGGAUUAGAGAGAGAGAGAGAGAGAGGAAACAGCUUAAUGGGUGUGACCUUGUUCAUCCUAGUUGAUGGUUUCCAUUUAUAUUUAGGGAUAAAUUGGAAGGUUGGAAUGGAUGUGUUGGUGGCAGUGAAAAGUACCACCUACUACCUAGGAGGUUGGACUUCAAACAAGUUCUGUUUCUAUUGAGGGCAAUGUCUAUGCAGCAGUGAUUAUUUGAGGUCCUAUACUCUGUUGAGAAAUUGGUUUUUUAUUUGCUUAGCCAAUUUUUUCCCCUUUUUAAUUUUCUCCAUCAACGGUCAGUAUGCUCUUGCUUGAUCAUGGUAAACUAGUAUAGUAAUGCUUUAUACUAUGUAUUGGAGGAAGUUAGUUUUAAAAGAAGGUAAGGUUUUUGGACUUCACUAACUCACACGCAUAUACACACAUGAACGAGAAUGUCAUAUGCACAAUAAUCAGACUGGUACUUUUAUCAUUGCAGACUUUGUUUACAAUUUCAUCGUAUUAGAUUUUACACAUUACUUUUGCUGCUUAUCACAUGAUACUUCUAGAAUUUGGGAUGGGAUCUUGUAGUUUAGUUGUCUAAAAACUCUACAUGUCCAUUUCCUUUAGAUCUUCUCUGUUGUGUGGAAGCGAAAUAUUGUGAAAUAUUCUAUUUCUACUUUAUAGGUUUUGCUUCUUUACAGUUAUUGGUGAUUUGCUUAACAUGGAUUUUCUAUAUAAAGGAUUUUAGUUUUAACAGAAAACAUUUUUUGAUGGUUGCAGAAACUAGUAACUUUCUGGUGUCUGUCUAAGGUGUUCCCAUGUUAUUUUGUCUUUGCUAAGUUGCUUAUUUGCAUAAGUAUUAUCUGUACAAGUAUCUCACAUGGUAACCCUAGCAUACUUUAUUUAUCUAAUAUGAUACUCGUUUGGUAUUUUGACUUUAUAACUUGCUUUAGCUUUCUCUGUUGAAACUAAUCUGUACUUUGCAUCUCUAAGUAAAUCUUUGUGCUUGAGAGUUUCGGAUGGCAUUUGAUUGUUUAGAUAUCCAAAUGAUCAUCUCCUCAAGUUCUGCUUGGAGCUAAAUGUUGUAGUCCUCUUGGUGUUCAUAAUUAGUGAUUAUUUUAUCUGUAUGAUGCAUAUAUCUGACUGAGUCAUGAAAUUAUGUAACACUCAUGAGCAGGUGGCAAAAUUGGAUGCCAAUCUUUGUGGGGAGAUUAUAUUCCCUGUGCUUUGUCUAUUUUGGUCAGAGAGAAAAUAAUGUUAAUUCAUUAACCCUUCGUUUGGUAUGAAUGAUUUUGUAAGAAAAGAAUUCAAAUGAAUUCUUGCAAAAUCAUUCAUGAUUUCAUUUUUUAUACAUGAUAAAAAGUUUUCAAGUUAAAAAAUUUUUAAUUCUUUUAUUUCAAACAAAAAUUUUGCAAGAAAAGAAUUCAAUUGAAUUGAAUUCUUAUAAAAUUCUUAAUUCCAAACAGAGGGUAAAGGAUUUAAGUCAUAUUUAUGAAAGUUAAUUUAUCAGAAGCAUUAGAAGUUCUGAAUAAUUAGCGAAUUUUAUUGCAAAAGAUGGAGGUGUAGCCUGUGUAAGUUUAAAUGGCAUAUUUUGUUUACAAGGAAAAGCUAAUGGAUUUAUGUUAAAUGCUUUGGAAAAGGAUCCUUUUGUUUUUGUGUUGCCUGAAGAAGAAUAUAUGUGUUAAUUCCUACGAAAAGAAAAUUCAUUUCAAUUGAUAUUUUGAUUCUUGAUUGUUUCUAAUAUGGGAUUAUUAGUCUUUUCUGUUUUUUUGUCCCUUUACUCUUUAUGAUGUAUUUUUCUCGUCUUGGUUUUUUAUGCUAGCUGGAGACAAAGCGAAGGAAGAGAUGACAGAUAAUCAUGAUGGGUGAUUGGGAGGUACUUUUUCUUGCACAUUAGCUGCAGUGUGUUCUUGUUGCUUGAUGUUCAAUUAUACAGUGCUGAUAAGAUAUUAUGCUUGCACAAGCAAGAGGCUCUUCUUAUUUAUAAUUUUCUAGUGUUUGUUCGUGCGAAUGGUCUUAGGAGAUGAUCUGUAGUGCCUAAUGAUGUCCUCGUGAGUGCUGUGCCAAAAAUUGAAGUGUCUUUUUUCUUUUCUGCUCCUAAAAUGAUGAUGAAUCAAAUUAAAUGUCUCGUGAACCUUGGGUUUGUUAUGGUAUAUGCUAUAUAUGUGACAAACUCAUUCUGUUCUUCCUUUCUUCUUCCCUUAAUCACAAGGGACGUGGAAAGAGGAGUUGGGUUUUAGCAAGAGAUGUAACAGUCGACUUAAUCCAGGCACUGCUUUGGACUCAAAUCUUCAUGUGGGGUGAUUUGUUGAUGUAGAUGAAGGCAAAUACCACUUAGUCUCAACGUCCAAGGGUGGUUAUGGUUUUCUUGUUCCUUUUUUCAUUUUUUUCUUUUUGUAUAGAUGGCUCUGGACAAAUUUUUGAGCCAGUGUCCCAAUUCUCUAGUUGCCAAGUCUUCUGAAAUUUUGAAUCACCUGUUGAAAGCUAGCUGAUUGAAUGUGGGAUUUCCUCUAUUGAGCAGAGCUGCUGAUAGCCUUGCCGAGGGCAUCAACUGUUCCGUAUGAAUAUAUAUGAAUAAACCAUAUUUGUAGGAGCAGGGGAGCAAUGCCACCAUCUAUUGGUGAGCAUCUUUAUCUAAUUAUGCAUAUUUUUGUUAUCGACAGCCUCUAGUUGAGAAAGAGAGAGAGAGAAAAGUUCACAUUGGAGUUUUGUGUGCAUAAUGCAUGAAUGGGUUUCUUGAAGGAUUUGGAAUCCCACACAUAUGUUCUAAGAUGAUAUUUUAAUCACAUAUAUCAGAGUUGAGUGCUGGGAAAGAAAAUGCAAUUUAUGGUAUCAUACUGGAUCUUACUGGUUUCUGAGGGAAAAGGUAAUAACUCAAAAAUUGCAUGGUUAAGAAGAAAAAACAAAAAGAAAGCAAGGAGGAGCACUGUUUGAAUGCGGAUCGUUAAGCAAAUGUUGGUUGUUGAUCAACAUCCAUUUAUUAUGAAGGAUUUUAAUAAAAAAAAUUUACAUGUUUAAAAAAAGGUUUAACUAAUGAAAACUUAAAAAGAGAUUAUCUGUGUUUGCAAGGUCAUAAAGAGGUCAUAAAAUAUCUGGUCUCAAACAUGUGUAUCUAAUUAAUGGAGAAAUUUACUAUUUAGGAAAAUUUAUUAGUUGAUCUAUUGGGAUUGAAGAAUAUAUUGAGAUUUUAAAAAAUUUAUUAAAUUAGUUAUUUCUUUUAUUUUAGCCAAUAAGUAUAGUAUUAUAUAAUCUCAAUGGUAUGGAAAAAUUAGAGAGCUGAUGUAGCAAUGGAGGUUAAAUUUAGCAAAAGGAGUUAAUGGUGGGAUAAACUAAUCCUAUGGUAACAGUUCAAGCUAAAUCUAUCAAGAAAAAAAAUUUUUCUUUUUUUAUUUAAUAUAUAUUAAAAAACUAAAACCUAUUGGUUUCUUAAAUAAUUUCUUUUUAUUAAGAAAUUUCUAAAGUAUUUUAAAGCAUAAGGUAUUUAAUUUUUUUGAUGAGUAAGAAAAGUCAAUAAAAUUCAUUACUUAAUCUGUGUCAACUUUAUUUUCUUAAAUAAAGUUAUUUAUGGAUUUAUUAUUAUGUUAUUAUUUAAUAUGCCAAUAAAAAAAAUUUAUCCAUUGUAGAAGUAAUUUGAUGUAAUAUAAUAAUAUUAAGAAAAAGGUUAAACAGAAAUUAUUUUAACUAUAUUAAUCAUUGUCUCUUCUUAAAUUAUAUUGAAAAGAGUAAUAACUAUACUAGAACUUACAAGCGAUUGCUAUAGCCUUGAAUUCAACAUGUAACAUGGGGAGACCUUUCUGUUAUUCAAGGUGUAACUAUCAUCUUUAAAAAAAAAAUCGUUUACUUGUCCUCUGUUAUUCAUGAAAAGAAAUUUCUUGCACGUAUCUACAUGUUAAAGUUAUCAGUUUUAGAGGAGGGGCAAUAGUUCGAGUCAGUCAAAAGUAAGCUCAGAAAUAUUAGAGACACUCCAUCAAAGACUUAAAAAAAUGACAAUUUCAAUUGACUUAUUGAAAAAGUCCCUCACACACAGUUUGAGUCAACAGAUCAAAAGGUAUGUUUUGGUUCGAUUUUAAAUAACAUUAUAAAAAAGAGCUUGAUCUUAAACAAUAUUAUAAAAAAGAGCUUGUUAACCUUUUGAGAAGUACGAAGCUUCGACAUAAUCACACACAGCUUAAAUAUAGAUAUUUUAGUUAAGUCGAUUCAGCAAAAAAAAAAGAAGGAAAUUCACUUGUAAAAGAGAGUAGGUAAUAAAAGGUGAAAUUAAUAAACUGUCAAAUGCAUGAUUGAUUAAGAAAAUGCAAUAUUCUACAUGACUCAUUAAUGUGGUGCUAGUGAAAAAACCUUAUAGAAAGUGAAGGAUAUGUGUAGACUUUACGAAUUUAACCAAAGCAUGUCCCAAGAAUCAGUAUCGACUCUAUCUAUUGAAAGGUUAGUUGUGGUUUCUUUUUUUGAUAUUAUUUCAAGUGUGAAACUAUUUAGAAGUAAUAUAGUUUCUAAGAGGGGUAUGAAGAUUAACACAUAAAAAUUAAAGCAAUAUGGGACAUAAAAGUAUCAAAAUGCAUUAAUGAUAUCUAAAAAUUAAACGAGCGGAUGACAACCUUCGGUAGUCAUUUCAUAUUCCGCUAAACGGUGUCAUUUUUUAAGACUUUAAAGAGAAAUAAUAAAUUCAUUUGAGGAGAAACUUUUAAUGGCUUAAAAGGUUUUGUAUCUUCUUCAUUAUUAUUUUAUAAAAUUAACUCCUUAAUUAUUAAUCAUUAAUUAUUUAAAUAUUUAAACUAUUUAAUUUUUAUAAUUUAAAUUAAAUAUAUUAUUUAAUCAUAUAAUUUUAAAUAUGUAUAUUAUGUAUAAUCUCUUUGACAAAAUUUAAAACAAAUUAAUUAAUAUUUCUCAUGACUAAACAAUUUAAUUAUAUAAAAAAUAUAUAAAUAAUUUAAUUAAGUAAUUUUAAAAUAAAAACAAAAUACUCCAUUUCUUAAAAUUUCAGAGACCUAAUAAUAAUUCAUCUAUUUUUUUCUUUAAAAAUGGAAGAUACUCUUUAACAAAACACACUGUCCUUUUGAAAUAGUUUAUAUAUAUAUAUAUAAAUAUAAAGCAUCAUUCAAUUAUAGAAUAUAAUUAUUCUAUGAAAUAUGAAAAUGGUAUUUAUUGGUAAGAAAUACGGUUUAAAAAAUAGUGCCCUAGUUUUCUUUCUCUAGUUUUCUUUCCUUCUCUUUGAGGCAGUGGUCUUGACUUUGCUGGUGAUGCAGCUGCCUUUUUCCAAUUUUUGCCUGGGUCACGUUCCUUUCCUCCCCACAUGGGUGAAAUUUUUUUCCCUUUUUCCUUUUUUUUUUUUUCAGUAGGUAAUGUUUAUCGAUAGAACGGUUUGUUUAUUUUUUCAGUCUGUGAUGUCCCAAGAUAAGUGACUAAAAAGUAGGUAAAUAGUCACUUUACCAAUUUUUCAACUGUUGUUCUAAGAUUCAAUUAAAAAUUAAAACUGCUAUUUCUGAGUAUGAGUGAGUUCUAGUUUAAACAGAUAAUUAAAAUAUUUUCUUGAAAGAUUAAAAAAUAAAUUUAUUAAAUGCAAAUAUGUACUAUAAAGAUUAAAAAAUAAAUUUAUUAAAUGCAAAUAUGUACUAAAUAGAUGUAGAUAACAUAAAGUAAAAAUGAAAUUAACAAGCUAAUUUUUGUAUAUUCUUGUAACAUUAUUUUAAUAUUUAAACACAUAUCUCAAAUAAAUAUUAAAAAGCUGNNNNNNNNNNNNNNNNNNNNNNNNNNNNNNNNNNNNNNNNNNNNNNNNNNNNNNNNNNNNNNNNNNNNNNNNNNNNNNNNNNNNNNNNNNNNNNNNNNNNNNNNNNNNNNNNNNNNNNNNNNNNNNNNNNNNNNNNNNNNNNNNNNNNNNNNNNNNNNNNNNNNNNNNNNNNNNNNNNNNNNNNNNNNNNNNNNNNNNNNNNNNNNNNNNNNNNNNNNNNNNNNNNNNNNNNNNNNNNNNNNNNNNNNNNNNNNNNNNNNNNNNNNNNNNNNNNNNNNNNNNNNNNNNNNNNNNNNNNNNUGCAGAGAGUUCUGGAUAUGCGUCCAUGUACGUUCAACAAUCAUCUCCUGGUUCUUGAGAAGUUGGAAGGUUUCUCCCACCCGUCUAAGGUUCCUCUUACCCAUGUCCCCUUCUGGAUUCAGGUGCAUGGUUUGCCGUCGGGGUUCUUUUUUGAACGUGUAGUGACCCGCAUAGGGAAUGAAUUGGGUGUCUUCAUGGAAUCUGAUCCUUACAACUUCCUGGGUCCUCGGAGGGCUUAUGUUCGGCUUCGAUACAAGCAUGACCUUUCAGCUCCCAUUCACAAAUCCUUGAGAAUGCGCAAGAGUGAUGGAGCAUGGUUCACUGCAACUUUUGCUUAUAAGAGGGCGCCCAGUUUCUGUUUCAUUUGUGGACUGUUUGAUCAUACAGAGAAAUUUUGCAGGGAGCUUCUGAAGUUUGGGAAUGCGCCAGUGGUUCGAAAAUUUGGGCCGAAAUUACGUGUCAAUCAUCGACGCCCUCAGAGUCUUGGCAGCCGAUGGCUUAAGGGAGGAGGAGGGGAGCAAAGCAUCCAAGGUCAGUCGAGUUUUAAUUCUGGUAAUUCCACUGAUAGCGGACUGAAUUCGCCUCCAAAUGCGGGGGUCUAUAAUGAUCAUGAUAUGGAAAGGGGUCAAGAGGAUCUUGAUGUUGGGGAGGAUCAAGCUAUGGGUUUGGGAGUUGGUGUAACCAUUGUUGAUCCUAAACGGCGACGUAUAGGACCUGAUCACAAGAAGGUCAUUGGGGAGAGGUCCUCUGUGGUACACGGUUCAAGCAAUGCAGGUAGUAAUCAGUCAAAAAAUGGAGUAGCGGCGGGUCCUGGGGUUCAGGCCCGCCGAUCACAAUGAGUUGUAUUAGUUGGAACUGUCGUGGGCUUGGCAACCCACGAGCAGUUCAGGCCCUGAAAGAGAUGAUCAGGGUUAAGAGGCCGAACUUUCUUUUCUUGAUUGAAACUUUAUGUGGUUCUGCUAGGGUGAAUGAGAUAAAAGGUUUGUUGGGCUUUGAUGAUUUUUUCAGUGUGGAUAGUUUGGGUCAUAGCGGAGGGUUGACUUUAUUGUGGAGGUCAGUCUCUUCUAUCUCUCUCUUAAGUUCAUCGCAACAUCAUAUUGAUACAGAAAUCUGCAUGGAUGGUGUUGGUUCUUGGCGCUUGACAGGGUAUUAUGGUGAAGCUGAUCGUGGCUCUCGCCACUUGUCUUGGCAGAGACUGCGUAUACUGGCAUCUCAUCUUGAAGCGCCUUGGGUGUGUUUGGGUGACUUCAAUGAUAUUCUUUCUCCAUCUGAGAAGCGAGGUGGUCGACCCCAACCUCCACGCUUGAUCAAUGGGUUUCGAAAGGCUCUUUGUGAUUCUGGUCUUAUAGAAUUUCCUAUGACAGGAUACCCGUUCACGUGGGAGCAUAGCAGAAACAGUGGUAGUUGGGUGGAAUCUAAGUUGGAUCAUGUUCUUACUAAUGCUCAAUGGCGUGCCAGGUUCUCUAAUUCUUUAGCUGAAGUGAUGGGUUUCUCUACAUCUGACCAUCUGCCUAUCCUGCUUGUAGUUAAAUGCUUUGUGGAACAGCGUCAUGCUCACCGGUUUCGUUUUGAGAAUACGUGGCUAUGUGAGACUGGUUGCCGGAAUCUUAUUUUUGAUAUUUGGCAGUCUUCUUCUAACAUGGAUGCUGCGGGUAAGCUUGAGGCUUGUCGUUCUGCUCUCAAAUCUUGGGGUAUAAAUCUUCGUCUUAAGCACAAAGUGGAGAUGGAUGAGUGCCUUGCUAUCAUGUCCCAUUUACGUGGCUCUCGCCUACAGGAACAUAUAACUGAGUUUUUACGAGCUAAAGCCUGCUUCUUUCACCUCCUAAAUCUCCGUGAGAUCUUCUGGAAGCAGCGGGCCAAGCAAUUUUGGCUUAAGGAGGGUGAUGCUAAUACUCGUUUUUUCCACCAGUCUGCCAGUGCUCGAAAAAGGAAAAACACGAUUGUCAAACUGCUAGAUGAUUCAAAUGUAUGGCGGGACAGGAAUUCGGGGUUGGAGGGUGUGAUGACUGAUUACUUUAUGACUCUUUUUACUUCCCACAGUUGUAAUUCUGAACAUGUUUUGCAGUGUGUCCCGACGUUGGUAUCACAAGAUCAUAAUGCUUCUCUCUUAGCGCCAUACAGUUGUGAUGAGGUAAGGUCUGCAGCCUUUUCCAUGAAAAUUGAUAAAUCUCCUGGGCUAGAUGGUUUCAAUCCUGGUUUUUUCCAGCAGUAUUGGAAUAUUAUAGGAGAUGAUGUAUCUAGUUUUUCCAUUGAGUGUCUGCAUUCCUUGUCUAUUCCUCUGAAGUUGAAUGAGACGGCUUUAGUUUUGAUUCCAAAGAAGUUUGUGCCUGAGCAAAUGAGCGACUUGCGUCCUAUAGCCCUCUGCAAUGUGGUCUAUAAGAUCAUCACUAAGAUGAUAGUUAAUCGGCUUAAGUCCCUUCUGCCCACCAUCAUCUCGGAGAGUCAGAGUGCUUUUAUUGCUGGUCGAAGUAUUCAGGAUAAUAUAAUCUUAGCUUUUGAGGCCUUGCAUGGUUUUAAAGUGCAUCAAAGGAAAAAAGAGUUUUCUGGGGCCCUCAAAAUGGAUAUCAGCAAGGCCUAUGAUAGACUUGAGUGGGGUUUCAUUCGGGAUAUGCUUCUUCGGCUGGGUUUUGCGCAACAAUGUGUUGCUUUGCUGUUCUCUUGUAUCUCCACUGUUCGUUAUUGGAUCCUGCAUGAUAGCAAGGAGUUAGGCCCUAUUGUUCCUACAAGGAGAUUGAGGCAAGGAGACCCCUUAUCGCCGUACUUGUUUAUUCUUUGUGCUGAGGGGCUUUCCCGUCUCCUGCAAAAUUGUAUAAGCAGUGGAAGCCUUCAUGGGUAUAGGGUUUCUCGGGGUGGCCCGCAGCUUUCUCACCUUUUUUUCGCAGAUGAUAGCUUGAUCUUCUUCCGAGCAAGUGUUCAGGAGGCUUUGGAACUCAAGCGUAUCCUUCGCAUGUAUGAAAAUGCAUCUGGACAGGUGAGAAACCUUCAGAAAUCAUCUAUCUCCUUUAGUAGGUACACUCCUGUGGCUCUUCGGGACUCUGUAUGCUCAGUACUUCAGGUUGAGGAGAAACCAGAUUUUGGAAAUUAUUUAGGACUUCCUUCUCAUGUUAGGAAUAAUAAGAGGGAAGUGUUCAGUUUUGUUAAGGAUAGAUUGUGGAAAAGGCUGAAUUCUUGGAAGCAUCGGGCACUGUCUCAAGCAGGUAAGGAGGUUCUCUUGAAAACAGUCCUCCAAGCUUUGCCAAACUAUGUGAUGAGCUUAUUUUUACUUCCUCGGACUCUUUGUGAUGAACUGCAACGCAUGAUGACUAGAUAUUGGUGGAGUAAGGGGGCGGAUCAAAAUCGGGGUAUUCAUUGGCUGGGUUGGCACAGAAUGGCAAAGCACAAAUCUGAUGGCGGGCUACGUUUCAAAAUUCUUUAUAAGUUUAACUUGGCCAUGCUUGGGAAGCAGGGCUGGCACAUUAUCAACAGGCCUCAGUCCUUAGUGGCUCGUGUCCUUAAGGCCCGCUAUUUUUCGACACAAUCUUUCUUUGAAGCUCCUUUGGGAAGUAACCCUAGUUUUUUGUGGCGCAGCAUAUGGGAAACUCGGGGUCUGAUUCGAGCUGGGGCUUACUGGAGGAUUGGGAAUGGUCAGUCAGUUUCAAUCUGGGGGCAACCCUGGUUGAGAGAGCUGCCUGAGUCCCUGGUUUCCACAACCCCUCCUUUGAACUGUGCUAGAGUUGUUGUUUCAGAUCUCAUAAUUAACCACAGAUGGAACGAGAGUUUAAUUGCACAGAUGUUCAAUGAAAGAGAUAGAAGUUGUAUUUUGAACAUCCCUCUUAGUCUUUCAUCGUGUUCUGAUACAUGGUACUGGAAAUUCGAGUCCAAAGAUCACUAUUCGGUUAAGAGUGCAUAUAGGUUCCUGGUUGAUGGCUUUCAACAUAGGGAAGGGAGCGAGAUAUGGAAAAGGUUCUAGAAAGCUAAAGUUCCCCCAAAAGUGCUCAAUUUCUGCUGGCGGGCUCUAGUUAAUGUUGUCCCUUGCCUCUCGUUACUUCAGUCCAAGAGAGUCCCAGUUGAUCCUUCAUGCCCGUUGUGUCAUGUAGCCCCUGAGAAUGUCUUGCAUAUUCUGAUUCAGUGCCCUUUUGCCCGCAGCUGCUGGUUAAGCUCGUCGUUGGGUUGGCCUGCGCCUUCUGCAUCUUCUUUAAAUGAGUGGUUUUCUUUAGCCUUCUCUUCUGCUUCUGUGGAAAAUGCCUCCCUUAUGCUAAUGAUCUUAUGGGCUUUGUGGCAAAAUAGGAACAAUGUUGUAUGGAAGGGCCAGGGUCAGACUGCGAGUGGUGUGUUCUUCAUGGCUCUGAAUUUUUUGCAGCAAUGGAAAGCAGCCCGGGUCGUGUCCUCAGUAAGCACCAUUGUCGACCCGGCUCGCCUGAUCUGGUCUCCUCUGCCGCAUGGUUGGAUCAAGGCGAACAUUGACGCCUCUUUAAGAUUGCAACGAGGUUCGGUAGGUUUCGGUUGUGUAAUCCGGAAGGAUGAUGGGAGUUUUGUGGCUGCUAGAGCAGGCUCUUUUUAUAGCCAGAUGGAUGCAAAGUGUGCUGAAGAUAUAGCAUUCCGGGAAGCAUUGAGCUGGAUUAAAGAGUGUGGAUGGGAUCGAGUUCUUUUCGAAUUGGAUGCUCAGGUACUUGUGAUGUCAGUUAAUUGUGUUUUAUUAGAUGAUUUAUCGUCUUUUGACCUUUUAGUUCAAGAUUGUAAACUGCUUCUAUCUAGUUAUGAGGAAACAAAGUGUGUUUUUGUUUAUAGAUCUGCAAAUGAUGUCGCUUAUGUUCUAGCAACAUCGGCUCAUUCUAAGUCAGGUCAAGGAGUUUGGAUUGAUAUCCCUCCUCCUCAUAUUGUUUCUUUGUUCUCUUUGAAUUAAUAAAGUUUUCUUGUUAUUUCAAAAAAAAAAAAAAACAAUUAUAAUAAAAAAAUUGAUUUAAUUUCAGCAAUGAUUUCUAGUGUGAAAAUUAUCUCAUUAUUGUUUAUCUUUAAUAAUACUUACAAAUAUAAAAACUAAAUUUAAAAUAUUAAUAAUAUUACCUUAUUUUACAAUUUAUUUAUUUAUCUAUCAAUAUGCAUUAACCAAUAUAUAAAACGAUCAGGAUGUUAGAAUAAUCCUUUAAAAAAAAUAUUCUGCAAAACGUAAAAUAAAAACUAUAAAUAGUUUUUAAUUUUUUAAAAAUAAACAAAUAAAAAACCAAUAAUAUUAUUAAACACAAUGAUAUUACAUAAGACUCGCUCAAAAUAGACAGUGAGCUGCUACCAUUAGACAGAGCCACAUAGCAAGGAUUUAAUAAACAUAUAUGCAGUUCCACCACCAUAGAAAAGAAGACCCGGGUGCUUCAGGACAAGUCGGACAGACUCGCCCUCUCAACUUUAGGGCAAUGCUCCAUAAGAAAAUUACCGUUAACGGCUAUAAUCUAGGAGAUCCCCUUUACGUCUACGAUCACGGAAUUCCCGACCAAUUAGCUGGAGAAGGUAUCUUACUAAUGAGUUGGUCAAAUCAUCGCCGGAUCAUCAGAGAAUGCCAUAUUUAUCUCCAUUUUCUUAAAAUAUAAAAGGAGAAAGAUUACAAAGGUAAAAGUACGUUGUUCUCUCACACAACUACUCUUGAGUUAUAAACAUUAUACUCGCUUUUCUUCACCCUACUGACUUGAGCAUCAGAGUGGCUACCGUAAACACUCACCACCUCACAUUUUCUUUCUCACAGGUUUAGCCAAUCACAGCACAGUUCCAUUUCGGCUACGUCAUCAAUUUGAUUUUAACAACAUCAUUUGGUUCUGUUGUUAAGAAUUCCAUUGAAUUCUUUCUGUUCAUUUAGAUUAAAACCGAUCUCUUAUCCCUUUUUUCCUAAAAAGAAAUCUUUCUUUUAUCUUUAGAAAUGAUCGACAAUUCACGAGCCGCUGCUAAGGUUGCUAUCGAUGAAAAGGCUAUAAUUUCUUCCACUACCAGCAGUAGACAAAACACAUCUCCUAUAGUCAAUGAAGUAGAUUCCAAUAAUAUGAGCAUUGAGAAAAUACUCCAGUACGUUCGAAGGUUGUAGGUUAUUUUUGAGCAAUGUAAAGCUCAGGAAAAGGCAUCACUCAUGGCUCCUAGGGGAAGGGAGAAAGCUCAAGGAUUCGGACAGGGGCAAUCCAGACGCAUUCCAAAGAGAAGGACAAGUUCGAGGAAGAGGGGCCGUUAGAUGAUGUUCCCAAGGAUGUUGGCUAGAAGUUGGUACGGGUUGCCUAAAGGGGCCAGGAGGGAUGGGAAAAAGACAAAAGGAUGGAUCAGAAGCAAAGUCAAAAACCGAAGAAUCAAGGAUAUGAGGGAGACAAUAAAAGUUACUCAGUCCCCCGAGGAAAGAAUGGCCAAGGUAAGUAUAAAAAAUAUACCUCAUUGAAUGACUCAUGAACACAUAUUCUAAUGUGGAUUAGGAAAAAUGACAAAAAGAUCAGGUGACCUCUCAAACUCAAUCCUAAGAAAGCCAAAAAACGAGACAGGACUAGAUAUUGUCAUUUUCAUAAAGACCACGGACAUGUAACAAAGGAGCGCUGACAAUUGAAAGAUGAGAUCGAAAGGUUAGUAGGGAACGACACACACUUUGAAAGUUCAUCAAAAAUAGUAGAAAAGAUAAGAGGCCCAAACUCGAGGUAACAAUUCCCGAAAUCAUCAUUGACAGUAAACUUGUGAGGUUAUUCAUGUGAUUGCAGGACGACUGAGUGUUAAUGAGGGUGACAAUAAUGGGAAUAUCACAAAUGUCCAGCUCUUGAGUCAAACUCCAAGUUUUGAAAUCGGUCAAGUCAGACGACCGAAUCUUUUAUUAGAAAAAUAUUUAUAAUUUAUGAAAAUGUUAUAAAAAUAGGAUGCAUUCUUCAAAUUUCUUUUUUGAAUCGUUGGAUGGAUGAAAGCGUGGAGACAAGAACAAAGGUCACAAGGCCAUCUGGGCAUGGGUCCUACAUAUAAUUCGGGCAUUGGUCUACGGAAACAAACAUUUAUAAAAGGCCACAAGGCCAUCCGGGUAUGGGUCUCACAUAUAAUCCAGGUAUUGGUCCACAAAAACUAAUAUUCAUAAAAGGCCACAAGGCCAUUCGGACAUGGGUUCCGCAUAACCAGACAUUUCAUAUUAGGCCACAAGGCGGAUAUACACCAGGCCAACCAAGUGUUAGUCCCGUUUCACAAAAAAAUUUUAAGGCAUUUUAUAUCAGGCCACAAGGCGAAUAUAUGCUAGGUCAACCGGGUGUUAGUCCCAUUUUACAAAAAGAUUCUUAAGGCAUUUCAUCCAAGCCACAACACGGAUAUACGCCAGACCAACUAGGAGUUAGUCCUGUUUCAUAAAAAAUUUCUUAAGGCAUUUUAUGUCAUACCACAAAGGUGGAUAUACGCCAGGCUAACCGGGCAUGGGUCCCGCAGUGGACAAACAACGUGAAACACGGCAACUAUUUUCGGCAAUAAGAUCUGGAACCUAUCGAAAGGGUAAGUAAGAAGAAAGCAAGAAUAUCGUGCAUUCAGUCUAGACAAACAAGUCACAUGGCCCAGAUCAUGAAAACAUCUGUCACCUUCGAAUCUCAAGAAUCGAAGACCAGCGGAGAACCUCUGAUGCUACAUAAGACUCGCGCAAAAUAGACAGUAAGCUGUCACCAUAAGACAGAACUACGUGAGAAGGAUCUGAUAAACAUAUACGUAAUCCCACUUGUAGAAAGAAAACCUGAGCGCUUCAAGACAGAUUGACCUCAAGUCGAACAGACUUGGCCUCUCAAUUUCAGUGCAAGACUCCAUAAAAAAGUUACCAUUAACCGCUACAAUAUAAUUUCAGCAACAUUAAACACAAUUAUCAUGCAAAUUAAAUAAGAAUUAAUUAUAAAAAUUCAAAAAAUUAGUUAUAUUGAAAAAAAAGAGAUUAAAGUGUGUAGUAUGUAUAUAAAUAAUAUCAUUAGCUGAAAAAAAAAUUCUCAUUCUUAUAAUUUUAGUCCUUUUUUUAGUUUUCAAAAUUAUCAUCGAUUUUAUUUUUUACACUAUGUCCAUAUUUUUUUUCUAUUUUAUUUUAUUUAUAUUAUAAUAAUAUAUAAAUUAAUUAUUAUAAUUUUAUUUAAUUUAAUACUAUUUUUAAAAAGUCUUUUCAUAAUAUCCGGUAAUAGUUAAUAAAAUUUAAUAUUUUUAAAAUCCAUAUAAUUAUAAAAUUAAUAAAAAAAUGUUCAUCCAUUACGGACAUAGGAGGACAUCCUAAUCGUAAUGGAGAUGCACAAAAUGGACAGUGACGUGUCCUCUAUCAUUGCUUUCCUCACAUCGCAGCAAAACCGACGUCACGCUCUUCCUCCAUUCCUCUCUCGCGAAGAGCUAAGUUAAGCUCUUCUUCUCAGAAUUCAGAUUCUAGGGUUUCGUUUCCUUUCCCUCUUCUUUCUCAGAAGUUAAACCCCGCCAAAACCUUCUCAGUCCUCUACAUUUUGCCUCUUCGCUUUCCACAUUUCACCUCCAUUAUCAAUUUCUAUCUUCCAGGAAAAUCCAACUCCUCUGGACCUGCCACAUCAAUCUAUUCAUGGCCAAAACCAAACCAGGCAAAAAAGACCUCGAUUCCUACACUAUCAAAGGCACCAACAAAGUUGUUCGACGUAUGUAC
This 53510-nucleotide long non-coding RNA is filed under the name Manihot esculenta (cassava). Its description in RNAcentral is "long non-coding RNA (MESC_LNC007042)". The record is from RNAcentral. Lineage: Eukaryota; Viridiplantae; Streptophyta; Magnoliopsida; Malpighiales; Euphorbiaceae.